RNAcentral lists this long non-coding RNA (56788 nucleotides) under Sorghum bicolor (sorghum). Its description in RNAcentral is "long non-coding RNA (SBIC_LNC003085)". Lineage: Eukaryota; Viridiplantae; Streptophyta; Magnoliopsida; Poales; Poaceae. The record is from RNAcentral.
UCGACGAGACCUUUGCAAUGGUGUACUCCAUUCUGUGAUUGGUGGAAACACCUGGGUGGGCGCCCAAGGGGGGUGGGCGGGCGCCCUGCCCCCGGGCCUGUUUGCCUUCUCGUUCGUUCCCGUGGCUUCUGGAGUCUUCUAGAUGGUAGAAAAUUGCGCGGUGCGUUGAUAUCUCUAUGUAAUCCCUACAUGUGGGCCUUUCUUCCUUAUUUCCUGAUAACCCCCUGCAGAAAUAGACAAACACCAAAACUCGUGGAAUUCUGACAAAUAAAACCCUUAGUCUAGAUGUUGAUUUCAUGUGGAUCCUUUUCUUUGUUUAUUUGAUAAUUAAAUUUGAUACUUAAGGACCAUCAACAAGCUCCCCCAAGCUUAACCUUUGCUUGUCCCUGAGCAAAGAUGAACUCAAGAGUUUCUGCAGUGGUUUCAUGCCUUAAAGGUAAAUGCGUUCAAACAAGAUCUCAUCUCUAGGUUAGGGUAAACUGUUAAGAUUUUAACUUACUCAUUUUACCUUCCACCAUGGGGUUUGCAACCGUCACUUGUGCCUUGAGCAGUUAAAAGAUAGAACGGUCAAGUCAAGCGCCAUGUCUCUUAUUCUUGAUCAGCUAUAGCUCUAGGGUUUUUGCAAAUUUUCAAAUAAAACUCAGAGAUUCCUUAUAUGACUCUCUCAGAUCUCUCUUUUGUGGUAUUUCUGGAUCCUUACCAAGGUAGUAAUGGUAUAUGCCUUCUCUCAAAGUAUGUGGUAUUUUUGGUAUGAGGCAUAGUGAUAUUGCCUUCUCUCUCACCCUACUCUAAUAAGGUUUUGAUAUUUGGAGCUCAUAGUUGGGAGACAGCUAAUACAUACUUACAAGACAUUUAUUGCAUAGUCAAACCAUGGAUCCAGAGAAACAAGUCAAUAAGUCAAAUCAAGAUGUGCAUGUGUGGCGAGUGAAUGGUGUAUGGUGAUGAUGGUGAUAACAAUGAUGAAAGUCUAAUUCUACUUUUGCUCUUUUAAGGGGAUACAUACCUUUCUUGCACUUUGAAGCUUUUUUGGGGAGAAUGAGAUGCUCUAUAUUUUAUUUUUCUUUCCUCUCAGGUGGGUAUCUUGUACCCCUAAUUCUACUGUCGGACACUUGUCCAUUUUUACCUCUCGCCUCACUUUUUCUUUUCUUCGAGGUUCCGGGCACUUGCCCCUUUUUAUUUCCUCGUAUUAUUUUUUUUUCUUCUUUUUUUUAGAGCACUCAUCUCCUGAAAGAAUGUAGCAAGUGGUAGUAACCAAAAUAACUGGAGCAUUUAUUUCACAGGGAAUAACAGGGAUAGGAAAAUAUUUUUAGCUAUUCUCUCCCGGAUUAGGAGUAGAAUAAUUUUGGGUGAAUGUGGAGAUGGAAAUGAGUGGAUAUAUGUGGAUGGUACUUCCGGAGUAGAAGUAGCAUGUAUGAGUGAACGUGCAAGUGAAUCUUGAUUUUAACCACAUGACAAGCUCCUAAGGGUCUACACAGCUUGACCACACUCAAUGCUCAUAAGCAGUAAAAAGUAAAUAUGUGGCUCAAAGUCUAGCAAGCAUGUAUAUAUGGCUGUGGUAGGAUUUUAAACUCUCAUCAUACAGGAACUCAUCAUGUGUUAUUUUAAAGAUUUUUUUCAAAGAUAAAAUUCUCCAGAAUUCUAGCAUCUCUAGGAACAGAUAAACAGCAGCUCAACCUUCCCAUAUCAUAUCCGUUAACGACUUAGACUUUAGAUCAAGUACUCUUCCCACAAGUUUAGGUUUAGAGCAAGCUUUAAAUUAUAACAGUUAUGCCUAAACUUGAGAGAGAUUUCAAUUUUAAGAACUAGUCAUGGCAGAGCAACUAUUCAUCAUUUCUAUGAGAGAGUUUAUCAUGAGUGUUCAUAGCAAACUUUAUUUAUUUAUUUAUUUAGCAAAUUAAGCAAAGAUAUAUAUAUAAGCAUAAAAUCUUUAUUUGGUUUUUCCUGGUUUAUGUAUAUUUAUAUUUUAAUAUAGUAUAAGUAUAAAGAUAGAUAGAUAGAUAGAUAGAUAGAUAGAUAGAUAGAUAGAUAGAUAGAUAGAUAGAUAGAUAGAUAGAAAUACUUAUCGGGAUAAAUGGGGGUGCUCUCCCCCAAGCUGAAUUUUGACGUAAUUUCUCUUGAUGUAGUUAGCAGGUGGCAAAGGUGUACUUGAAAGUCAGCAGUAUUCUGAUAGCGAUUAAAAUGUCCUCCGUCUGCUAGUCUUCUUGAUUCUUAAAUCCUGUGGAGCUCAAAUAGACAACAAAGCUUUGUGGAACUGGUCAAGUGUUAGCAUAAAUACCUAGCCUUUAUCAUGUUGAGCCUCCUCAAUAAAUAUUAUUUAUUUAGCAGGAUCAUGCACUUAUUAUUUUUAUAUUUUUUUAUUGUAAAAUGAAAACUUAUUUAUUUUAUUUUUAUGCCAUGAGCAUACUCACAGUGAAUGUACUUAUGAGUUUUAUGCCAUGAGCAUACUCACAUGGGGCUUACUAUUUUUUUUUAACAUUUUUAUUUUCUUUUCAAGAUAGCAUGAACCUGAUUAACUAAGCAAACUAUAAUUGAAUAAUUGAAAGGAAAAGGAUAACUACCAAGUUUACCUCUUGGCAAGGUGUUCGGUGUUUUUAAGUCCUCCGAACGGGACUCUCCGUUUUCUCAGUCGUCCUGGGAUUCGCUAGGUGGCGUAGUCGGUGAUUCCGGCGGCGCCUCUCUUCGUGUAUAACUAUCUUCUCUCUCCACACCUGACUCGGUGCUACGGUCUGCUCAGGACAGUUCUAUUCAAGCUGUAUGUCUUCAGUCCUUAUCACUUCUCCUUCGUAGUCUACCCAUCCGUCCUUGAUGAUUUGCCUCCUCUGGUUGCGGUUGCGUUGUCUUCUUCUUGUCCUGACCUGCUUAGAGUCUUCAACUAUAUAGUUAUGGUCAGUAAAAUAGUUGCGUACCUUCUCAGAGGGAAAGUACAUGUGGACUUCUCCGGUUCCAAUGUAGAUGAUGGCUUUGAUAGUGUUGGAGGAACGGUCGUCCAAGGAUGGUAGGUAGAUCGUACUCGUCUUCUUCCAUGUCAAUGUUCUGAAAAUCAUCUGGAGCUGAAUAUAUAUUGGUUGUAGGGGCAUGGUUCCAUGCAGGAGCUGAUAAGUGACUACGGUCAUUACGUUGACGUCACAUCCGGUGUCGUAGAGUGUCUUCUAAAAAGAGUAUCUGUUGAUUGUGCACUCAAUGCUUGGAACACCAGGGUCGUCCUUCUUGAUCAAGAAAGGUGACUUGAGUCGACGAUCUUGACCUCUUACGAUAAGGAUCCAAUGUUUUAAGUCUUCUGGACAAGACUUCUCACUGUCUUCAUCCUUUAGGUGCAUCAUUUGAUUAGGUGUGGACCUUGACGUCUGCACCUCUUGAUACGGUGUCACCUAUGUUCUUUGUUUGCCCAGCAGUUCGAAGUGCGGUGUUGGCAAUAUCCUGCUCAGUGUGUUUGUGCUCAUAGAUCCAGGUCCUUCACUUGGUGGAGUCUAGGAGUUGUAAAACUCCUUCAGGUCUUGCUCGAAGUGUACCUAUUCAUAGAGACAAGGCAGAGAUCAAGUGCAUGGGCCCUGAUGGUGGAAAACACCAACAGAACCAAAAGUAUAUUUAUUCUUCUCUAACCUUAAGCAUAGUGAGCAAGACAAAGUUGAUGGAUAAUAAGAUCAGGAGUGUAGUAUUUAAAACAUUUGUCAGAUCAGAUGGCUCAACCUAAUGGAAAGAUAAUCUAUCUAUAUUUAUGUUUUGUUUAUAUCUUCCAAAGAUUGAAUGUGCGACAUAUUAACUUAUAUGAUUAGGAGUGUGGGAUCACGGAGGUAGUACUAAGAACAAAGAUUAAAGGACUAAACAUGUUGAAUUAAUUGGGUUGAUUAAUUUGGAGCUACAAAUCAUACAUGUUUGUCACUUUUAUUCAUGUGUAUGCCAGAACCAAAGAGAAGCUUAUAAAAGCAAUAGUCAAGUACCUUAAGGUGUUACCUUACUUGAAGAGUGACGGUACAGUAUCACCUUGUGGAAGCUUUCCUUUCUUAGCGGUUGUGCAUCGUGUUUGUGGCACCCUCCAGGGAUCAUCUCUUAUGAGCUACGUCUUCCUUGUGUAAAUUGUUAAACUUCAUGUGUCCCUCUCCUUGUCUCCAAUGUGAGUUUAUCUCAGGACUUCCCAGGUUGAUAUUGAAAGUUUUCCUGCAGGGGUUAGUACAACAAAAUAUCCCAUAUCUACUAUAGCAUACUAUCGGCUCCAAAAUCAACCUAGACACCAUGUCUAAUUUGAUUUAGAAGGGCAUUUUAUCCUAAGCACCACGCUUAAUUUAAAUGCCAUUGGAAGUGUGUCCAGUACUUCCAAACUAACACUUACUAGGAUAAACAAAGGUAGCAUGAUGGCUUUUAUAGAGAUCUACUCAAGUGGAGAUGAAGUAGUGUACUUAACAAAUUGAGCAUGUCUCAAAGGUAAGGACAACCAAUAUAGUGUUGACGGUUCUUAAGUAUCAAUUUUAAUUAUCAAAUAAACAAGAGAAAGGACCAAUAUGCAACCAUGACCUAGAAUUAGGGUUUGAUUUGAUAGAAUUCCACGAGUUUUGUUGUUUAUCUGUUUCUGCAAGGGGUUAUCAGGAAAUAAGGAAGAAAGGCCCACAAGUCGGGAUUACAUAGAGAUAUCAACGCACCGCACGAUUUUACAUCAUCUAGAAGACUCCAGAAGCCACGAGACCGAAGCGGAGGCGAAACUGGGCCAGGCCCAGGGCGCCCGCCCUGGUAGCCUGGGCGCCCACCCCCCUGUUGGAGCCAAAUCAGGACUCUUUCGCUCGGUAUAUUCCACCGACCUAUUGGAUCAAGAAAAACAUAGUACCACCUCGCCUAUCGACCCAAAAACGCAUAGAAGGGGAGGACUAUAUAAGCAAGGCCCCCUAGCCCCUGGAGAAGACAUGAAGAAAUUAUCAUAGAGACUGAGGGGUGCCCUCGAAGGAAAACCUCUUCUCUAAUUAAUAUUUCUUUUUAGGCUUAGCAAUCAAUGUAAGGUAGAAAUAGAUCUUCUAGUUUCUACUAGAUUGAGAGAGAUAGAGUGGAGGUGUAGAGUGGAGGAAGCCCGGCCUGUCGGUGUCUACUCCAAGCUUGUACCUGCGGGAUCAAGUUCUCCUAACCCGAAGCUUGCUCCUAGGAUUCUUCAGUAAUUCGACUUCUAAAUUCUAGUAAGUUCUUGUUUUAUUGUUCUUAUGGUUUAUGAGUUUACUUUAAUCUCUUCGCAUAGAGUUUAGAGUAAUCAUUGCUGGCGUAAACGUGGUGUUUAGGCUGGGGUACUCAUAGAUCUUCCCUGACUAGCUGGACCGUGGUAGUAGUGAGGAACGUGACAAUUCCGAGCUACCUUUGUAGAUCACAUCUCGUUAGCAGGAAGGAUAGGGUUUAUAGGUGCGGGUUGAACAUCCUUUGUGGUGUCUAGAUUCCGUUAGCCUCCCUAUUAGAACAGUAGAUCAUCCUUACCAAGGUUAGAAGGAGACUACGGUUGCAGUCUUCUCUAUUUAUCACUCACAUCGAAAGACAUUCUUUGUGCCUAAAGGUUAGUAGUAAUAGACCGGUUAGUCAGAUGCACUCUUUCUCCUAGUGGUAAAAAAAUAAAUACGAUACUCUGGAUAACCUCCCGGGUGAAGUGCUCACCGAUAUCCGUGCGCUUGCAGAUCAAUUCCUUAUUGCGUUCCCAAAUAUCAACAUAUAGCAGCAUGGAAAGGAUGUUUUAUGUAAAGUACUCCCCCAAAAUUCAAGAUUGGAUGAAUUUAAUUUAAUGUUGCAUGAUGAUUGGUUGGGCAUACCUUGCGCUUGUCAUUCAUUCGAUCUUCUUGCUCCAAUCCUGGAAAGGUUAGUGGCAAGAAUACCUGAAGGAAUAUUUCUAUAAUUAUCUCAAUAUGCUCCAUACACAAGGCAAUGUUGCAAAUAAUUAGAAGUUCAUGUUACGAUCUGAUAAGUGUUUGCUAAGCUUAUCCUUGGGAAACCAUCAAGUUAUGUUGGUGAAGUGGUUUCCCCUCCAACACCUACCUAUAUCAAGAUCAACUCAACGAGAUCUACAACAUUUAUUAUAGACAUAUGCAUCGACAACCACUCUUUUAAAGUUUUUAUAAAUAGAAAGGAAGAGGGGGUUGGAGAUCUCAAAUGUGGUGAUGAUGGAGAGACCGAUUGAUUGGGGAGAUGUUUUAUAUGAGCAAGGACUUGGUAAGGUAUUUAUGAAAUAACUUCCAAGCUCACUGUUGUUUCUCUCAUUCUCAAACUCCAAGGAUGAUUCUUCAUGAAUGCUUAAAAUUCUUCUAGGAUUGUCUCUCAAGUUUGUUUUAUCUAUCCAUUCAAUGGUGAUAGCACAUGGAUUUUUAAUGCCCUUUAGCCAUUGAUGUUGCUCUUCUCGAUCCUCCUUGUGAUCUUGGUGACUCUUAUGCAUGGGAUGUCUAGAGAGAUUCAUAGGAUUAUCGGGAGGUUCAAGAGAAAGAGCAUAGAGAUUAUUAGGCUCAAGGAUGGGAUGGAUAUCCGAAUUAUGGGAUUGAAAUGUUUGGAAAUUGGCUAUGGAAACUUCCUUUCCUCGUCUGGGAGAUGAUUCCUUCUCUAUCUCUAAGAUUUUUCUAUGAAGACUAGUGAAAGAAGGAUGUCCACAAAUGAAGACAUACCUUCAUUUACUAAUAGAUAAAGAAAGAAAGACACUACCAAAUGUUAUAUGAUUAAGACCAAUGUGAAAAUAUUUAGGAAAAACAUGGUCUUGUAGGGCUAGGUCUAAACCAGAAUUUAUAGAAAGAUUAACAGAUUCCCUAGGUGUAGCUAAAAGUGCAUUAUCUUCUUGAUUAAAAGAUAGGACCUCAGCUAUAGAAAAGGGUUGGUUUUGACCUAUUGCAAUCAACUCCGGACACAGAUCAUAAUUAGGGGCAGGACGUGUUGACUCCCAUGGUCUAUGGCUGGUCUCCGAAGGUGCAAAGAAUUCAAUAAUAGGUACGGAAUUUAAGUUAUCCAUAAAGAUAAAAAGAUAAAAGAAUAAAAGUAUAAAAGUAUAAUACAAGAUAAUAGCAAGACUCAAAGUUAUCUCAGCAAACCGUCUUUCUUCCCGGCAACGGCGCCAGAAAUGCUUGUUGAUAUUUGGUAACGCAAUUAGAAAAUGAUCCGCAAGCGCACGGAUAUCGGUGAGCAUUUCACCCGGGAGGUUAUCCAGAGUUAUCGUAUUUAUAUUUUUACCACUGGGAGAAAGGGUGCAUCUGACUAACCAAAUCUAUUGCUACUACCCCUUUAGGCUACAAAGAAUGUCUCUCGAUGUGAGUGAUGUAUAGAGAAGACUACAACCGUAGUCUCGUUCUAACCUUGGUAAGGAUGAUCUACGGUUCUAUUGGGGAGGCCCACGGAAUCUAGACAACACAAAGGAUGUUCGACCCGCACCUAUAAACCUACCCGUCCUGCUAACGAGAUGUGGAAUACAAAGGUAACUCGGAAAUGUCACGUUCCCCGCUACUACCACGGUCCAGCUAGUCAGGGGAUAUCUAUGAGUACCCUAGCCUAAACACCAUGUUUACGCUAACAAGUGAUUACUCUAAUACUCAACCGGAAGAGGAUUAAAGUAAACUCAUAAACCAAAGAACAAUAAAACAAGAACUUACUAGUAUUAGAAGUUGUUGGGUAUUUUAAACGCAAACAGAAAAAUCCGUAAGCGCACGGAUAUCGAUGUAGCCUUCACCCGGGAGUAUUCCAGAGUAUCGAUUUUCCACAGGGAACGUGAGUGUCCUAAUUAAGAUUCAAGAUCGCCCAAGGAUAACUAUAUAAUUAUUUUUUUUUGGUGGGAAGAGAGGAAGUUUCCUGAGAGUUCUCUAGUUGAUCUAAGAAUCAAGAAUUACUUCAAGAUUAUCUAUUUCGGGACAUCAGAGCACUAACCACAGAAAGAGAUGAGAAGGGGGCUAGGAAGGUCUGACUACGGUCCUACAAACACCGAUCCGAACGAGGUGGAAUACGUCGACCGUUAGGGCUGUCACUACCCUAAGGCUACCACAACAAUCCGCAGGAUUGGGUGCAAUUCCAGGUAAUUGCAAGACUAAACACCACGUCUAAUCUAUUAAUUACUACUCUAAUGUUGCAAAGAUUAGAGCACUUGAUGCAAGCGGGAAUCCAAUAAAUAACUUGAAUGUAAAUAAAAGUAAUUAAAGAACUCAGGAUUAUGAAUUGAAGAACCUGGAGAACGAUGAAGAACGAACCAGUUGCGGCAAAAGUACAAUGUUGAGGAAGAUCCGACAGAUCCGGCUCCUCCUCCUCCGCUCUCCUCUUCUCUCUCCCUAUUUUCUUGAUUACAACUAGAACUAACUAGAACUAGAACUAGAGGAACUAGAACUAGAACUAGAUGAACUAGAACUAGAUCUAGAUGAACUAGAGGUAGAACUAGAAGAACUAGAGGGAUCCUCUCUACUUGGAUGAAGAAUUGAAACCCUAGCUUUGAUUCUGUAGAAGAGGUAUGAUCUUCAGGGGCCAGGGGGUCUGGUUUUAUAGUCCCUUCAAGUGAAUCUAGGCCGUCGGAUCAAACCGACAUUGAUCGCAUGGUUUUCCUUGAUCCUUUAGGUCGGUGGAGCAUAAUCCGCGAAACGUGUCCUGAUUGGGCACUGUAGCUGGGCGGGCGCCCAGGAGAGUUGGGCGGGCGCCCUGCCUCCGAGCCCGAUUUCCUUCCCGUUCGUUCCCGUGGCUUCUAGAGUCUUCUAGAUGAUAGAAAAUUGCGCGACACGUUAAUAUCUCUAUGUAAACCCGACGUGUGGGAGUUUCUUCCGUAUUUCCUGAUAACCCCCUGCAGAAAUAGACAAACACCAAAACUCGUGGAAUUCUGUCAGAUAAAACCCUAAUUCUAGGUGUUGGUUGCAUUUGGAUCCUUUUCCAUGAUUAGUUGAUGGUUAAAUCUGAGCAUUAAGGACCGUCAACAGAAGCAAGCCUCGGGUUAGGAGACUUGAUCCCGCAGGUACAACUCGGAGUAGACACCGACAGGCCGGCCUUCCUCCGAUCCACACCUCCACUCUAUCUCUCUCAAUCUAGUAGAAACUAGAAGAUCUAUUUCUACUUUACAUUGGUUGCUAAGCCUAAAAAGAAAUAUUAUUUAGAGAAGAGGUUUUCCUUCGAGGGCACCCCUCAAUCUCUAUGAUAAUUUCUUGUCUUCUCCAGGGGCCAGGGGGGUCUCCUUAUAUAGUCCUCCUCCUCUAUGCGUUUUUGGUUCAGCAGGCGAUGUGGUACUAAACUUUCCACCAUAUCUCAUUAAAAUGCACAUAGGCCUUAAUGGACCAAAAUCUGAUUUGGGCCCAAUUAAUCCCGCAGCUCUUUUAUAUGGAGUCCUUUUAUUAAUAUCUCUUGAUUCCGAACUCCAAAUAUAGCAAAUAAUAUAUGCAUUUCGAUCAGCUCGACAAGAUCUUUGCAAUGGUGUACUCCAUUCUGUGAUUGGUGGAAACACCUGGGCGGGCGCCCAAGGGGGGUGGGCGGGCGCCCUGCCCUCGGGCCCGUUUGCCUUCUCGUUCGUUCCCGUGGCUUCUGGAGUCUUCUAGAUGGUAGAAAAUUGCGUGGUGCGUUGAUAUCUCUAUGUAAUCCCGACAUGUGGGCCUUUCUUCCUUAUUUCCUGAUAACCCCCUGCAGAAAUAGACAAACACCAAAACUCGUGGAAUUCUGUCAAAUAAAACCCUAAGUCUAGAUGUUGAUUUCAUGUGGAUCCUUUUCUUUGUUUAUUUGAUAAUUAAAUUUGAUACUUAAGGACCGUCAACAGUACUCAGCUAGACUUACCCGACAUAAAUUAAAAUAAAGACUCUUCAAGGAUCAUGAAGGCUAUAUAGUGAGGUAGCUGACGACCAUUUUGCAAAACCGCAGAAUUCUAUUAUCAUCACCUAGAUAAAUCUUUUCUUCUUUUAAUUUGCUCAAGUUGAAGGUAUCAUUACCUAUUAUCAAGGUUUUGCACCUGAACUAUUACAAGCAAUUAUAAAGAUAUGAUAGUACCUCAUCAUAGCAUUCAUAAACCAUUUAUCAUUAUAACCCAAGUGCUCCAUAGUCCUUACUACGAGGACGAAGCUCAUGUCAAGUGCUCACUAUCCAGGAGCGAUGGCGAUUCGAAUCGAUUUCUAACCAGCUGGCGAGGUAUUCCCCACACAAACCACACUCACUGAUCAAGUGAGCUACAGAUCACCGUAUUACACUAUCCAGGACCAAUUCGCGGGUUCGGCAGGCACCGCCAGUACCCGAGGACCGUUCCGGCGACCGAGGUAUCCAAGGUAUACCAAGGUUGCGCGCCGCGCCCUCGUCAUUCUCCUCAACCAUCACCAAUACAGCGCAUGGCGGCUCGAUUCCCGGCCCGGAUAGUGUUCAGGCUUCGCGGUCGGAACGGCUUAUCCUUCCAGCUAAGUGUGGGGCAUGCGUUCAACAUGACAAGAGGGCCGUCAACGACCGGUCCUUAAUCGACACAGGCAGAGGCACUAUGGUCAAACCACCAUAAGACCCGGCCUGGUCUCAAAUUCCAUUCCACACUUGGUUAUUCUUUUCCCAAAGCAACCACUGCUUACCCAAGCAGGUAUCCACCUAUAUCUCGCAGGUGACCGGAAAUCACCCGACUUCUACCGGACUAUGCAAGCUAAGCAUCGACUCCGUACCUAUCUACAUAGGACAAGGUAGAUAAAUGAGGGGUGAUAUCAAGGAGUACCAAUGCAUCAACGGUAUCAACCAACUCCUAUCACUUAGAUGCAGUAAUAUAGAACAAGCAUAAUAUAUCCUGUAAGUUAGCGAGAAUAGGGAGACUUAGAAUGCUCUGGGGCUUGCCUUUCUCAAACAUGCUGGCUCGGUGAUGCGGACACUCCUGCAGUUCCUCUCUGGACUCCUGUGCUUCCGGAGGUUCCUGCUCGUGAAUCUCCUCUGGUUCCUCGGGUCCCACCUCGUUCUCCUGCGAGCCUGUAUGAUGCAUGUGUGCUCAUGAGUGGAGUGCGAGAUGCCCGAGUGGAUGCUUGUAUGAGAAGGUACCAAAGGAUCAUGACAUGAUGCAUAGAUGAUACACUUGGUCAUGCUCAUUACAAGGUAGUCAACAUCAUCCAGGAACAGACAAUUGGACUAAACAUCUAGUGCAUUCUCUUCUACAAGUAUUUUUCAAGUGUGACCAGCAACCCACAAGUUGCUUCAAAGAUACACCAAACCCAAACUUAUUCUAUUCAACCUAUACAUACAACAAUUCAUAAUUUUCUUUAUUCAUUUCUAGGCCCAUUAAAUUUACAUGCAGUUCUGUUCAUGAAUAAAUUCCUCAAAAAUCACAGGAGACUACCAGUCAAGCAUAAAGUCUACUGUAAAUUUUUCAUAAUUUUUGGAUACUUAUUUUGAGCUACAAAAAUCACAGGAUUAAUUAAUAAGGUAAGUAUAAUCACUCUACUGUGAUAUAAGUGUCAAACAACAGAUUUCAUAUUUUUACAAUUUGUCUAAUAUCAUAAGAUACACCCACAAAAUUUUCCAGAUUUAUUGCAUGAUCCAAUUAAUUUUUAAAAAUCAUAAACCACUGCCAUGCAAGCAUUUAAAUUACCAUAAAUUCAUUUAUACACCAAAUAAUAUGUAGCAAUAUUUUCCCAGUGAGUAAACAUACAUGCAGAGCCAACAAAUCAAGUUUCACAUUUUUCUCAACCAUAUUUUAAUUACUAUGCAUUUUCAAAGUUUAGCAAAAAACAUGGAUUAAAUAUUUUCAUACAGAAAAGUUACUCAAACAUGACAUGCAAUUACAUCAAACUGUAGAUCUGGAAAUAUAGAGCACACCAAAAUUUAUUUCAUCAAAUUUCGAGCUGUAGAACUCAAGAUAUGAAUUUUAAAACUUUCGAAUCGAUUUCUGGAAAACAUUUAUUCAAGAAAACCGACGAAAAAGGCUAAACACACCCUGAUCUACACCCACCGGGGUCCCCCUGUGACUGACAGUGGGCCUCUGGCCCCACUGUUCAGCGAGACUGAGAGGGAGCUCACCUCCGACGAGCAGAUCUCGCCGGCGGUGAGGUCCCCGGCCACGGGGUGAGCACCAACGUGCUCCCCGCAGCGAGGCGCACCCAGCGGUACUCUCGGAUUGACCGGAGGAUGGCCGGAGCACCUCCGACGAGCGUGCAUGGUGGCACAGCGGCGCUGCUCGCCGUGGCCAGGCCGCUCGGGCGUGGUAGAGCGUGCGCAUACGGCUCUCCGAGCUUCCUCACCACCCUACCGACCUAGCGCAACCAAAAACCAGCAAAAAGAGGCAGGGAAACGCAAGAUACGUCGCGGCGGAGUACUCCGGCGAGCUCGGGGUAACUCCGGCGAGCUAUUCACGGCGCUCGAUGGACUCUCACCUCGGUAGAACGCUCGCACAAGCUUACCCUAACGAUGGCAAAGGCGCUGGUGGCUUCGGUGUCGAGUUUUGGUCACCGGAGUGGCCGGCGGUGAGCAGCGGAGCUGCUCCGGCGAUGGCGCCGCGGCGGAGUUCUACGGCUCGGUUGCGCUCGCGAGCGGAGGGAGGAAGGAGAAGGGCGUGGGCGACAGGAUGGAGGGAAUGGCCUGGGAGCCCGAGCCGGCGUCCCGACCAGGGGGUGUUGGAGGCCGGCCGCGGCGCGCUCCUCGCCAGCGUACGGCCGCCAUGUGGCCGACGCUGGCUGGGACGAGGCGCGUCCGCGCGCGGGAGAGAGGGGGAGGGGGAAGCAGGCCGGGCCGCUCGCUGGGCCGAAAGGGAGGCGGGGUUGGCCCGGCAGCGCCUGCCCCUUUUCAUUUUUUUUUGAAUUUCUUUUCUCCAAAUCCUUUCUAAAUUCAUUUGGACCAAUUUAAAAUCAUUUUCACCUCUUGCUCCCAAAAACAAAGUUGUUCCAAAACAAAAACCCCACAACUUUGUUUUAAUAAGCAAGACCAAAUUCCCAACAGAAUUUGAAUUACAAAUUAAAACUAGUUCUAGGUUUUCAAAUAAAUUCAAUUUGGGGAUUUUUGUAUAAAUUCCAUUUCUCAAAUUCUAUAGCUCCAAAAAUUGCACAAAAAUAUUCUUAAUUCUUCUUACACAUAAUUCAACCUAGUUUGAAUAUUUCACAUUUUUAGAAGCAAGCAUCAUAUUUUUAGCAUAAUUAAAACACAUGAAAUAAAGCACACAAAAUCAUGUUUUUGGGAUGAAUGACAUGCUCAUGAUGCUAUGCUUGAUGAGAAUGCUUAUGCAUGUUGUAAUAGGGCUAAAUGCAUGCUUAACACCUAGGGUGUUACAGGGGCCAUUGCUCAGGCUGGCAAGGCUAUCGAGGAUCUCCGCGUUGCCAACACUGUGCUGGCCCGCUCCACCAAAGAGAUCGAGAGGGCCAACACCAGACUAGUUGGCGAGAACACGGCCUUGGAGGAGAGUGUCCGUAGUACGUUUCCUCUGUCGGAUUUCUUUUUUGAGGUGUGCUUGGUUUUUCCUAAAGUUUCUUGUAUUGGCAUUUACAGGGCUUAAGGACGAACUCUUAGCCACCCAAGUUGAGGCCCGUAGUGCUAAGGCCCAGCUCGAGGCGGAGGUUGCUUUGAACCGUCGAGUGCGGACGGCGAUAAACGACCUCUCGACCUCUUGGGAGGUCGAGCCUAUGGACGAGUCGAAGGAGGUCGAGCCUAUGGUCGACCAGCUGUGCUACUUAGGCGCGAUGCUGAGAGAUCGGGUGCGGGAUGCCCUCCACAUCGGGGUGAAGCGGGCGAUGGCGGUUGUCUGCUCGGGCUUCACCUACGACAUGGAGGUGGUGUCCCACGGCUUCGUCACCGACAUCUCCAUGACCGACGCGGAGAACGAAGAGAGGCUCCAUGCCUUGAUCGACGACGCGGAGGCUCCUGGAGAGAGGCUGGCCAAGCUUUCUGAGCCUGAGGUGCUUCCUCCUGAGACUAGCUCGGGCGCAGGCGAGGGUGGUGAGGAUCGUGCUGUAGACUAAGGCCUGCGAGCCUUCUUUGGGUGCUGGGGGCCCCUUGUAUAGUACUCCUAUUAACUUGUUUUUAAGGGAUAUGGUGUCUUUAAGUAUUUGUUAAAUGUUUAUCUGUCUUUCCGCUCAAGGCUCUUUUAUUUCCCUUUGCGCCUACGUUUGUAUUCCUCGUUCGAUCUUUUGUCAAAAACAGCCUGGAUCACCUCAAGGGUGGGGAAGUGAGUAGAGUUUCCAUAGCCUGGGGGCGUAGGAGUUCUCAGGCUUGUUGUCCCUCGUCCCUUAAGGGGCUGGAGGCACCUCAACUUACUCGAACGUGCAAGGUUUACUAGGUUUCUUGGCUUUUUCGACACUUGGGGGGGUCGCCCCCCCUGGUAGCCCCCGAGGGAGUAUCGACUAUGAUGGGUCAUAGUUGGUACUCCCUUCUGACGUCGAGAUUUGAGAAAGUAAAUCGCUCGAGGGAAAGACUUCAUUUAUUCAUACAUUCAUUUACAAGGCCUUGGUACAGAAUGUACGUAGGAACAUAAAGUUUUGAACUUCUAGGGGUAGAAUCGACGUAGCUGUUCGAUGUUCCACGCGUUGGUGAAGAUCGUCCCCUUUUCAUCCGCGAGCUUGUAUGUCCCUGGCUUCAGGACCUCGGCCACCACGUAUGGGCCCUCCCAAGGUGGAGUCAGCUUGUGGCGUCCUUGAUUACUUUGCCGGCGUCGUAGGACAAGGUCGCCCACGUUUAAGUCCCUCUUGCGCACGUGGUUGUCGUGGUAGCGUCGAAGUCUCUGCUGGUAUCUGGCAGAGUUAAGGAGGGCCAUGUCUCGAGCCUCCUCGAGUUGGUCGACCAUGUUUUCUUGAGUCUCCUUAUUUGAUUGCUCGUUGUACGCUUUAAGUCGAGGGGACCCAUACUCGAGGUCUGUGGGGAGGACGGCCUUAGAGCCAUAGACCAUGAAGAAUGGGGUGUAUUUUGUGGCCCUGCUUGGUGUUGUCCUUAGGCUCCAUAGGACCGAGGAAAGCUCCUCGACCCACUUUUUGCCGAAUUUCUUCAAGCGAUUGUAGAUCCUUGGCUUGAGUCCUUGUAAAAUCCUACCGUUGGCACGCUCGACCUGGCCGUUAGUUCGAGGGUGGGCUACUGCAGACCAGUUCACACGGAUGUGAUGCUGAUCGCAGAAGUCCAAGAACUUUUUGCCGGUGAACUGAGUGCCGUUGUCGGUGUUGAUGACGUUGGGAAUCCCAAACCGGUGGAUGAUGUCGGUGAAGAAAAGGACGGCCUGCUCGGAGCGGAUGUUGGUGAUGGGUCGAGCCUCGAUCCAUUUGGAGAAUUUGUCGAUGGCCACGAGCAAGUGGGUGUACCCUCCUUUCGCCUAUUGUAGGGGCCCUACUAAGUCGAGCCCCCACACCGCAAAUGGCCAUGUAAUGGGGAUCAUCUGAAGAGCGUGGGCGGGCAGAUGCGUCUGUUUGGCGUAGAACUGGCACCCAUGACAUGAGCGUACGAUCUUGAUGGCAUCUGUUACGGCCGUUGGCCAGUAGAAGCCUUGUCCGAAGGCGUUACCUACGAGGGUCCGUGGAGCGGCGUGGUGGCCGCAAGCCCCCGAGUGUAAGUCCUCGAGGAGUUUCCGGCCUUCUUCCACGGUGAUGCAACGCUGCAAGACCCCCAUCGGGCUUCGUCGAUAUAGCUCAUUGCCUUCGCCAUAAAUCACAUAUGACUUGGCCUGUCGAGCGAUACGGCGGGCCUCAGACCGAUCUUCUGGCAGCUCGCAGCGGAUUAGGCAGUCGAGGAACGGUGUACGCCAGUUGAGCGGUCGACCGGGCCGCUGUUCUACCUCCAUCACCUCAACUGCCAUCAAUGGUGCGUCGACGGUGUCGGUUGGCUGGGCGAGAGCGGCAUCGACGCCAGCCCCCAAGCCCAAGUCGACGGAUGGCUCGUGAAGAUCUUUCGAGAACGCGUCAGGUGGUACCGUGCCUCAGGUCGACGCGAUCUUGGCGAGUUCGUCGGCUGCCUCGUUGUAGCGUCGGGCGACAUGGACGAGCUCGAGGCCAUGGAAUUUGUCCUCGAGUCGACGGACUUCUUUGCAGUAUGCCUCCAUUUUCGGGUCGUGGCAGCUUGAAGUCUUCAUCACUUGGUCGAUGACAAGUUGGGAGUCGCCUCGGACGUCGAGGCGUCGGACCCCUAGCGCGAUGUCGAUCUUGAGACCGUUGACGAGGGCCUUGUAUUCUGCGACAUUGUUGGAUGCGGCAAAGUGAAUCCUGAUGAUGUACCUCAUAUGGACGCCCAAGGGCGAGAUGAAUAGCAGGCCGGCCCUGGCCCCCAUCUUCAUGAGUGACCUGUCGAAAUACAUCAUCCACAGCUCCGACUGGACCUGAGUUGGGGGAAGCUGGGAGUCUGUCCAUUCCGCGACGAAGUCUACCAGAGCUUGCGAUUUGAUGGCCUUGCGAGGCGCAUAAGUGAGAGUCUCACUCAUGAGCUCGACCGACCAUUUAGCUAUUCUUCCCGUGGCCUCCUUACUCUGGAUUAUCUCACCCAGGGGGAAAGAUGAGACCACCAUGAUAGGGUGGCCGAGGAAGUAGUGCUGCAGCUUACGGCGGGCGAGGAUUACGGCAUAGAUCAGCUUCUGGAUUUGGGGGUAACGUCCCUUGGUCUCUGAGAGCACCUCGCUGUCGAAAUAUACUGGCCUCUGGACUGGCAACGCAUGCCCCUCCUCCUGCCUUUCGACCACCACCACUGCACUGACAACCUAGGUCGUCAAGGCAACAUAAAGGAGCAGUGGUUCCGCAGGUUGAGGUGGGACUAUGACUGGUGCUUAGGUCAGUGUUUUCUUCAGAUUUUCGAGGGCUCCCUCGGCCUCGGGGGUCCAAGAAAAACGAUCGACCUUCUUCAGGAGUCGAUACAGCGGUAGCGCCUUUUCUCCUAAUCUCGAGAUGAAACAGCUCAGCGCCGCUAGGCAUCCCGUGACUCUCUGCACACCCUUGAUGUCUCGAAUCGGCCCCAUCCUUGUGAUGGCUGAGACUUUCUCGGGGUUGGCCUCGAUGCCGCGCUGGGAAACAAUGUAGCCCAAGAGCAUGCCUCGUGGCACACCGAAAACGCAUUUCUCGGGAUUCAGCUUGAUCUGGUUGGCGUGUAAGCAGCUAAAGCGAUCUUGAGGUCCUGGAUCAGGUCUCCUUGACGCUUUGAUUUGACGACUAUGUCGUCGACAUAGGCCUCGACCGUCGACCCUAUAUGCUUGCCAAAUACGUGGAGCAUGCAACGUUGGUAUGUGGCUCCCGCAUUUUGAAGCCCAAACGGCAUGCUUACAUAGCUGUACAUCCCGAGAGGUGUGAUGAAAGAGGUCGCGAGCUGGUCGGACUCUUUCAUUUUUAUUUGAUGGUAACCAGAAUAUGCAUCAAGAAAAGAAAGGGUUUCACAUCCCGCAGUAGAAUCAACAAUUUGAUCAAUACGUGGUAAUGGAAAGGGAAUUUUCGGACAUGCUUUAUUUAAACUCGUAUAAUCGACACACAUCCUCAUUUUCCCAUUCUUUUUCUUAACUAGUACAGGGUUUGCUAACCAGUCAGGAUGAUGAACCUCCUUGAUGAAUCCGGCCGACAAAAGCUUGUGGACCUCCUCGCCAAUGAUCUUGCACUUCUCCUCGUCGAAUCGGCAUAACCGUUGCUUCACUGGCUUGGAACCGGCUCGAAUCUGCAAGGAGUGCUCGGCGACCUCCCUCGGUAUGCCUGGCAUGUCCGAGGGACUCCAUGCAAACAUGUCGGCGUUCGCAUGGAGAAAGUCGACGAGCACAGCUUCCUAUUUGGGGCCGAGGUCGGCGCUGAUCGUCAGCACCUUGCCGUCGGAGUUGUUGGGGUCGAGCGGGAUCUUCUUGGUUCCCUCUGCCGGCUCGAAGCUGCCCGCGUGGUGUUUGGGCUCUGGAGCCUCAGCGGCCAGGGCCUCGAGUUUUGCGACGAGCUCGGUGGAGUUCUCUACCGCCUCCCCAUACUCGACGCACUCGAUGUCGCAUUCGUAAGCGUGCUCGAAGGAGGAGCUGAUAGUGAUGACGCCUUUGGGACCGGGCAUCUUCAGCUUCAAGUAGGUGUAGUUGGGUAUAGCCAUGAACUUUGCGUAGCCCGGGCGCCCGAUGAUGGCGUGGUACGUGCCCCGGAACCCGACCACCUCAAAGGUGAGGGUCUCCUUCCUGAAGUUGGCCGCCGUGCCAAAGCAGACCGGUAAGUCGAUUCGACCUACUGGCAGCGCCUUUUUCCCUGGCACAACGCCGUGGAAACCACCGGCGCUUGGUUGAAGCCGUCCCCUGUCGAUGCCAAGGAGGUCGAGGGUCUCGAGGUAGAUGAUGUUGAGGCUGCUGCCUCCGUCCAUUAGCACCUUCGAGAGCCUGGUAUUGACGAUGAUGGGGUCGACGACGAGCGGGUAGACGCCUGGGGCAACCACCUUGUCGGGGUGAUCCUCUCGGUCGAAGGUGAUGGGUGUGCUCGACCAGCUGAGGUACUGGGGCACCGCCAUUCUUGCCGCGAAGACCUCACGACGUUCCCUCUUGCGCUGCCUUGCAGUCAACUGCGUCGAGGGCCCACCAUAGAUCAUGUAGCAGUCGUGGACGACAGGGAAACCAUCGUCGUCCUUGUUGCCCUCCUUGUCACCACCCUUCUCCUUCUUGGGGUCGUCGUGCGCGUCCUUUCUGAACCCUAGGCCGUCGAAAUGCUUUUUCAGCAUACGACAGUCCUUGAGCUUGUGGUUGGCUCCUCCUUUGUGGUAAGGGCAUGGUUCCUCUAGCAUCUUAUCGAAGAUACCUCCAUAUAGGGGGGCCUUGAGGCUUCUUCCGCUCCAUGGCGGCGAUGAGGUCGUCGUCGAAGUUCUCCUGCUUGAACUGCCGCACCUUCUACUUCUUCUUGUUCUUCUUGAGCCCUCGACUAGGGGUCUCGUCUUCAUCGGCGGGCUGCUUGCCUUUCCUUCCUUCACAACUGAAGAAGGCACCGACUGCUUCCUCCCCUGCUGCGUAGUUUGCCACUACGUCCAUGAUCUCAUCGACGGUCUGAGGUCGGUUCCGACCCAAUUCCCGCACCAAGUCUCGACUGGUGGUACCAGAGACAAAUGCCAGGAUGACGUCGUGGUCGGGGAUAUGUGGCAGCUCGGUGUGCUGUUUUGAGAAGUGUCGAGCAUACUCUCAAAGAGUUUCUCACGACUUCUGCUUGCACUUGCUGAGGUCCCAUGAGUUCCUGGGCUGUAUGUAGGUCCCUUUGAAAUUACCCUCGAAGACACUAACCAAAUCGACCCAGUCGUGGAUCUGAUUUGCUGGGAGUUCCUCGAGCCACCGAUGGGCACUGUCGGAGAGGAAGAGUGGUAGCUGUCUGAUGAUGGCUCGAUCAUCUCCUCGAGCGCCUCCUAGCUGACAGGCCAGCCUAAAAUCGGCCAGCCACAACUCUGGUUUGGUCUCGCCAUUGUAUUUCGCGAUGCUGGUUGGGGGUCGGAAUGGACUGGGCAGGGGCGUGCUGCGGAUUGCCCUGCUGAACACCCGUGGGCCUGGUGGCUCGGGGGCCAUCCGGUCCUCGUCGCUGUCAUACCUCCCACCGCGGUGUGCGCUGUAACCGCGCUCUUCCGCAUCCCCAUACCGACGGCGUCGAUUCUCUUCGAUGUCAUGCCGCACGUCGUGUCGACGUUGAUUGUCGACAGGGAGGACGAGAGUGGCCUUUCUUCCUCGAGGGGGAGGCUGUUGAUGGACUGACACCUCCUUUUCGUUUUGGGGCGGCUCAUCGCGCUUUUCAGUGGCGGCUCCUCGUCGUCGAGAAGCCCAGCUUUCGGCUUGUUGAACCGCCGCUACCUGGAGCAGAGUCUGCACCUCGUCUCGAAUGCGUCGAGCUUGGGAAUUUGAUGGCUCUGGCAUGUUGCAUAGCAGCAUUGUUGCUGCCACUACGUUCUGGCCUGCUCGAGAGAAGCGGCUGACGGGUUGCUCUGGCUCCACGUCUCCGACGAUUUGCCGGUGUACCUCUCGAGCUCGCCUACAGACACUUCCGCCGGGCGGGUAAGGCAAGUCUUGUUCGAGGAUUUGCUCAAGCAGGACGAGGUGCUCACGGUCUUCGUCGAGCUUUGUCUUGAGCUCUCAUAGUUGCGCAAGCUGCACAGCCCUGUCUUCCUAUGGAAGUGGAUCGACCUAUCCGCCGUUCCCAGGCGUCCUGGGGUCUUCCCUUGCUGCGGGGGCUCGACCGCCCGCAGCUGCGUCCUGCGUCUCGUCGGUAGUUAUCUCGUCAGUAGUAAAAUAUAAUCAUCAAAUAAACAAAGAAAAGGAUCUAAAUGAAAUCAACAUCCAGACUUAGGGUUUUAUCUGACAGAAUUCCACGAGUUUUGGUGUUUGUCUAUUUCUACAGGGGGUUAUCAGGAAAUACGGAAGAAAGGCCCACACAUCGGGAUUACAUAGAGAUAUUAACGUGCCGCGCAAUUAUCUUACAUCUAGAAGACUCCAGAAGCCACGAGAACGAAGCGGAGGCGAAACGGCGCCUGGCCCUGGGCGCCCGCCCAGGAGACCAGGGCACCCGCCCCCUGUUGGAGUCCAAUCAGGACACCCUUUUGGGAUUACGCUCCACCGACCUAAAGGAUCAAGGAUAACCGUUCAAUCAAUAUCGGUUUGAUCCAACGGCCCAUAUUCACUCGAAGGGACUAUAAAACCAGAACCCGUGGCCCCUGGAGGAGAGAGCCUCUCAACCCUAAUUCAUUAUUCCUCAAGGGAGAAGAAGCCUCUGAUCAAGCCUAGAGCCACCACAUCAAUUAGACAUCUAGAUUAGCAUAGCUACAUAGGAUUAGAACUAGAAGGAGUCAAUCUUCGAUUGGUUUCCGGAUCUGUCAAGAGGAUUCUUGGUAAUUCUCUAAUUGUUCUUCUAAUUGUUCAUCAUUGUUCUUCAAUAUUAUGAAUAUGACUUUGCUCUACUUCAAUAUAUUGCUUAUGACUUUGCUCUACUUGUUUAUAUUCAAGAUUAUAUUGUUCUUAGUUUAUCAUAGUUAUAUACUUGGCUUAGUUAGAUUGGAUCUAUAUACAUGUUUAGGAUCGUAUAGCAUUUAUCUAUUGGAUCCAUGGGUAAAUGAUAGAUAUUGUGUAGGCGUGGUGCUUAUACCGUAUUUAUCUGCGAUUGUACCCAAUAUGCCAGAUCAUGGGGUAGUUCGUGAUAGUGACAGUUUCAUUGAUUCUUAUAUAGUCCCCCUCUCGUGUAUUGGGCUGGCAGAGCAACAUUAUUAUAGGGGAGUGAUUAUGAUGUUUCACAUAUUCCUUGCUAUAUCACUAUGCAUGGGCGUAGUCCUGUCUCGCAAUGAUUGCUAAGUAUACUUGCACUAACUAUGAUAAUGCUAGACUGUAUAGUUAAGAAUAACUUAGGAAAUAUUCUGUGGCUAAGUUAUGCUAAUCAGAUUAAUUAUCUUUGUCACUAUUCAUUACUUUAUAUAUCCUUUAUGUGACACUUAUCCCUGUAUGAAAGAGUUAGAUAAAUGUUCUCAAUUAUACAUGCAAUGAUAGAUGCUCAAUCUUAUAUUCCAUUCUAUAAUCAACAUUGAUGGUUACUAAUCCCUUCCCAGUGGGAAAAAUAUAAAUAACGAUACCUGGAAUACUUCCCGGUUAAAAUGCUACAUCGGUAUUUAUUUAGAUGAGCAAUUGCAUAUUUCAAUACCGCGUCUCUUAUGUCAUGCUGGGGAUGACAACUUGGCUUAAGUGGCAUGGGAGAUAGUUUUGGCAUUUUUGGCGCCGUUAUCAGAAUGAGAAAACUAAGUCUACUUUUGGUAAUGAUGUUAAGAAUACCCAGCAAUAUCCUGAAGGAAGGGAACCUCUACUACUAGAGAACAAACCUUUCAUCGAUGUGCCAAAUGAGCUUUAGUCCUAGCAUUUUUGGCGCCCGGGACAAAAGAGAUCUUUAGUCCCGGUUGGUAACGCCAACCGGGACUAACGAUCCCUCCCCAACGGCUCCGGUGUCAGGCGCUGUCGGGGAGGGACCUUUAGCCCCAGUGGAUGUUACCAACUGGGACUAAACACCUACCUUUAGCCUCGGUUUGUUCCACUAACUGGGACUAAACCUUUUGUCCCGGUCGUUGGCACCAACCGGGGCUAAAGGUAGGUGUUUAGUCCCGGUUGGUAACACCAACCAGGACUAAACCCUCCCCGCUAUAAAUUGAAUCUCCCUCCUCCCUUCUUGCACUCCCUGCCCGAGCCCGUGGUCCUUUAUUCUUGCUUGUUCUUCCAUUGUUCUUGCUUGUUAUUGCUCUCAUCUUCCGCGAUCGAUCCAUUUCAACGCUUCUACGCCGUUGUCGAUUUGUUUGAAAGGUUGCUAGCUUCAUCCUCCUAUGUUUCUCACCGCCAUAUGUAAUUUCAUGUUGGACAUAUGGCUAUUUUAAUUAUUUCAUGUUGCUAUCUCUCCAAUCAUCAUCUUCUCAUGUUUGAAUUUUUUUGAACGAUGCUAAGUGUGUGCCCGCUAGAAACUAGUGUACACAAAUCAUUACUACUAUGUAUACACAAAUCAUGUUUAGUUCUAUUAUAGAUAUUAUAGGAUAUUUUUACUUUAAUAUGGUCAUGUUCUUAUUUUAAAAUAUAUUUGUUGGACCAAACAUGGAGAGACUGGGUUAUGAUGGAAGAAGGUGAAGAAGAGCAAGCGUACCCUGACGAUGUUUUUGCUCAAUACUGCGACUUCGCGGUAUAGGACAAAGGUGAAGAAGACGGGGAUGCAGGAAACAGUAUCAUUGAUGAUGACGAUGCUCUUGGUGAUGUCAUUCACGACGUACAGAGAAAUUGCAAAAGUGCAAAGGAGAAGGCUAAAUUUGACCAAAUGCUAGAGGAUCACAAGAAGCUACUCUACCCAUCGGCCGAAGAGGGACAAAAAAAGCUAGGCACGACACUAGAGUUGUUACCAUGGAAGGCAGAGAAUGGUAUUUCUGACAAUGCAUUUGGAAAAUUACUCAAGAUCCAAAAAAAGAUGCUUCCGAAGCCUAAUGAGUUACCCACCACUACAUACGAAGCAAAAAAGAUCGUCUGUCCUUUGGGGUUACAAAUCAAAAAGAUACAUGUAUGCCCUAAUGACUACAUCCUAUACCGUGGCGAGCACGAGAAAUUAGAUGACUACCCUGUUUGCCAUGCGUCACAGUACAAGAUCUUGCGGGAUGACCCUGGCGAUGUUGAGGAUGAAGAACGUCCGAGGAAGAGAAUCCCUGCCAAGGUUAUGUGGUAUGCUCCAAUAGUUCCAUGCCUAAACAUUUGUUCAGAAAUAAGGAGCAUGCAAAGUUGUUGCGAUGGCACAAACAAGACCGUAAGGUGGACAACAUGUUGAGACACCCUGCAGAUGGUUCUCAGUGGAGAGGAAUCGAUAGUGAAUUCCAAGACUUUGCGGAGGACGCAAGAAACCUAAGGUUCGCAUUGAGUACGGAUGGAUUUAAUCCUUUUGGGGACCAGAGCUCUAGUCAUAGCACCUGGCCCGUUACUCUAUGUAUCUACAACCUUCCUCCGUGGUUAUGCAUGAAGCAGAAGUUCAUUAUGAUGCCGGUGCUCAUCCAAGGUCCGAAGCAACAUGGCAACGACAUCGAUGUUUACCUGAGGCCAUUGGUUGAGGAACUCCAGCUUCUAUGGAGCAAACCAGGUGUGCGUAUGUGGGAUGAGUACAAACAGGAAGCAUUCGACCUACGAGCAUUAUUGUUCAUGACAAUCAAUGAUUGGCUAGCUCUAAUCAAUCUUUCAGGAUAGACAAACAAGGGAUAUAAUGCUUGCUCCCAUUGCUUUGGUGACGUUCAAGCUAUCUAUGUGAAAAAAUGUCGAAAGGUUGUGUAUCCUGGCCAUCGUUGAUUUCUUGCUAAGAACCACCAGUUGAGAAAGAAAGGCGAACAUUUUAAAGGUAUGAGAGAACACUGGUCCAAGCCAUGCAACUGAGAUGGGGUAGAGGUAUUCGAGAUGGUCAAAGAUUUGAAUGUACUAUUUGGAAAGGGAGAAGGCAGCAAACCUGUUCCGAAAGACACUUCGGGGCGUGCCCCAAUGUGGAAGAAAUAGUCAAUAUUUUGGGAGCUACCAUAUUGGAAACACCUUGAGGUCCGCCACUCCAUCGACAUGAUGCACCUGACAAAGAAUCUUUGUGUCAAUCUCCUAGGGUUUAUGGGUGUGUUUGGAAAGCCUAAGGAUACCCUUGAGGCUCGAGAGGACUUAAAGCGCAUGAAAGAACGAGACAACCUGCAUGCAAAGCAGACAGAUGAUGGACGCCAGUAUUUUAAGACCUGCUAGCUACACUCUUAGCAAUGAGGAGAAGGAAAUCAUGUUUGAGUGCCUAAGCAGCAUCAAGGUCCCAUCUGGGUUCUCCUCCAACAUAAAGCUUAUAAUAAAUGUGCCAGAGAAAAAAUUUGUCAACUUAAAAUCGCACGACUGCCACGUGAUUAUGACACAACUGCUUCUGGUUGCCUUAAGAGGAAUUCUACCUCCACAUGUACGUCUGGCCACCGUGAAGUAGUGUGCAUUCCUCAAUGCAAUUUCUCAGAAGGCAAUAAAUCCUCUUGAUCUAGCUACUCUACAGAACGAUGUAGUUCAAUGUCUUGUCAGCUUUGAGUUGGUGUUUCCUCCAUCUAUCUUUGAUAUCAUGACACAUCUCCUAGUUCACCUGGUCAAAGAUAUUAAUAUCCUGGGUCCUAUCUUCCUACACAACAUGUUUCCCUUAGAGAGAUUUAUGGGUGUACUGAAAAAAUAUGUUCACCAGCGGGGUCGGCCAGAAGGAAGCAUCAUCAAGGGAUAUGGGAUAGAGGAGGUCAUUGAGUUCUGUGUGGACUUCAUUCCUGAUCUUGACCCGAUUGGUCUUCCUGAAUCAAGGUAUGAGGGGAGACUCGGUGGAAAAGGGUACACUAGGAAAGAAAACAUAUAUCAGCCAGAGUGAUGAUUUAUUCCAUAAAGUGCACUACACAGUCCUUCGAAACUCCAUUGUGGUGGAACCCUAUAUUGAGGAACAUAUGGAUUUUGUAUGAUCCGAGAAUCCUAGAAAGAAUGAGACUUGGGUUAUGCGUUAUCACAUGGAAACAUUCGGUGACUGGUUGUGAAAAAAAUGCCAAGGUGAUAAAGAUAUUGUAGAUGAACUUUAUUUGUUGGCUAGGCAACCAGCGUGGCACGUCAUCACGUACAAAGGAUACGAGAUAAAUGGAAAUACAUUUUACACCGUAACACAAGAUAAAAAGAGUACAAACCAAAACAGUGGUGUCCGUGUGGAUGCCACUGACAUGAAUGGGGACAGGCACACAUAUUAUGUUCGUAUAGAGGAGAUUUGGGAACUAGACUAUGCACAUAAUUUUAAAGUCCCUUUAUUCCGAUGCCAAUGGGUGAAGAUGAAAUGAGGGGUAUUGAUCGAUAAGGAGUACGGAAUGACAACAGUGGACCUCAACAAUAUUGGAUAUACAAACGAUCCAUUCGUCCUUGGUACUAAGGUGAAUCAAGUGUUCUAUGUGAAAGACAUGUCUACAAAACCCAAGAGAGGGAAACAAGAUGAGAAAAACACAAACGAGCCAAAGCGCCACAUCGUUCUUACAGGGAAAAGAAACAUCGUGGGAAUUGAAGACAAGUUAGACGUGUCAGAGGAUUAUGAAAAGGAUGAACGGAUCCCACCCUUCUGUGUGGGCAAAGACCCAAGCAUCAUGCUCGCUGUAGAGGACACUCCAUGGUUACAGAAUAUUCAUAACCAAGGGCAUUACGUUAAGAAAAAUUUUACCAUUGUGCUAGCUUGAUAAUGGUAGUGAUUUGUACUUGACAUCUUGUGUAAUAUAAUUGUAACAUUAUGUGUAAUAUAAUUCUAACAUCUUGAUAAUGUGGAUUUUGAACUACACUUUGCCAGCACUUUGUGAAAUGCAAAAAUGGUCUAUAUAUGAAAUGUAGAUCUUGAUGAGUGGAGCAAUAUUGGUAUUCAUGAGUUUUCCAUUUGAGGCCAUCCGUGGUUCCAAAAAUUAGCGUUUUGCUAUGAAUUCUUUCAAAUUUCCAAAUUGAGUGGUCCAACUUUUUCAAAUGAAAAUGUGACCAUUAGAGAAAAUGUAGACCCUGAUGAGUGGAACAAACUUUGUAUUCAUGAGUUUUCCAUUUGAGGCCAUCUAUGGCUCGGUCAAAGUGUGUGUUUGUGAAACCCACUGUUUUGACUUUGGUCAAACUUGGUCAAAUGACCCAUCUGAGGACUUCAAAUGGAAAACUAUUGGAUACCAAGUUGUUAGAGCUCAUCAACACCUACAUUUCAUACAUGGACCAUAUUUUCAUCCGGAUAAAUUUGAUCGAGUCCCAGUCACAUGUUUUCAAAUUCGAAGACGGGCUUUGGUCAAACUAGGUCAAACGAUGGAGAAAAUGACUUGGAAUGAAAAUCUUUUGAAUACCAAGUUGUUAGAGCUCAUCAAUAUCCAAACUUUUUAUAUAGACCAUUUUUCUAUUUGGAAAAGUUUAUGUAAACAAUACUCACCAAAACUUGAAUCUCACACAAACUAUAUGAAACUAUACGUGGGAAGUGUGGAUUUUGAACUACACUUUGCCAACACUUUGUUAAUGCAAAAAUGGUCUAUAUAUGAAAUGUAGAUCUUGAUGAGUGGAGCAAUAUUGGUAUUCAUGAGUUUUCCAUUUGAGGCCAUCCAUGGUUCCAAAAAUUAGCGUUUCGCUAUGAAUUCUUUCAAAUUUCCAAAUUGAGUGGUCCAACUUUUUCAAAUGAAAAUGUGACCAUUAGAGAAAAUGUAGACCCUAAUGAGUGGAACAAACUUUGUAUUCAUGAGUUUUCCAUUUGAGGCCAUCUAGGGCUCGGUCAAAGUGUGUGUUUGUGAAACCCACUAUUUUGACUUUGGUCAAACUUGGUCAAAUGACCCAUCUGAGUACUUCAAAUGGAAAACUUUUGAAUACCAAGUUGUUAGAGCUCAUCAAGACCUACAUUUCAUACACGGAUCAUAUUUUCAUCUGGAUAAAUUUGAUCGAGUCCCAUGCACAUGUUUUCAAAUUCAAAGACGGGCUUUGGUCAAACUUGGUCAAACGAUGGAGAAAAUGACUGCGAAUGAAAAUAUUUUGAAUACCAAGUUGUUAGAGCUCAUCAAUAUGCAAACUUUUUAUAUAGACCAUUUUUUCAUUUGGAAAAGUUUAUGUAAACAAUACUCACCAAAUCUUGAAUCUCACACAAACUAUAUGAAACUAUACGUGAGAAGUGCGGAUUUUGAACUACACUUUGCCAGCACUUUGUCAAAUGUAAAAAUGGUCUAUAUAUGAAAUGUAGAUCUUGAUGAGGGGAGCAAUAUUGGUAUUCAUGAGUUUUCCAUUUCAGGCCAUCCAUGGUUCCGAAAAUUAGUGCUUCGCUAUGAAUUCUUUCAAAUUUCAAAAUUGGGUGGCCCAAACUUUUUCAAAUGAAAUUGUGACCAUUAGAGAAAAUGUAGACCUUGAUGAGUGGAACAAACUUUGUAUUCAUGAGUUUUCCAUUUGAGGCCAUCCAGGCCUCGGUAAAAGUGUGUGUUUGUGAAAUCCACUAUUUUGACUUUGGUCAAACUUGGUCAAAUGACCCAUCUGAGGACUUCAAAUGGAAAACUAUUGAAUACCAAGUUGUUAGAGCUCAUCAACACCUACAUUUCAUACAUGGACCAUAUUUUCAUCCGGAUAAAUUUGAUCGAGUCCCAGUCACAUGUUUUCAAAUUCGAAGACGGGCUUUGGUCAAACUAGGUCAAACGAUGGAGAAAAUGACUUGGAAUGAAAAUCUUUUGAAUACCAAGUUGUUAGAGCUCAUCAAUAUCCAAACUUUUUAUAUAGACCAUUUUUAUAUUUGGAAAAGUUUAUGUAAACAAUACUCACCAAAACUUGAAUCUCACACAAACUAUAUGAAACUAUACGUGGGAAGUGUGGAUUUUGAACUACACUUUGCCAGCACUUUGUUAAUGCAAAAAUGGUCUAUAUAUGAAAUGUAGAUCUUGAUGAGUGGAGCAAUAUUGGUACUCAUGAGUUUUCCAUUUGAGGCCAUCCAUGGUUCCAAAAAUUAGCGUUUCGCUAUGAAUUCUUUCAAAUUUCCAAAUUGAGUGGUCCAACUUUUUCAAAUGAAAAUGUGACCAUUAGAGAAAAUAUAGACCCUAAUGAGUGGAACAAACUUUGUAUUCAUGAGUUUUCCAUUUGAGGCCAUCUAGGGCUCGGUCAAAGUGUGUGUUUGUGAAACCCACUGUUUUGACUUUGGUCAAACUUGGUCAAAUGACCCAUCUGAGUACUUCAAAUGGAAAACUUUUGAAUACCAAGUUGUUAGAGCUCAUCAAGACCUACAUUUCAUACACGGAUCAUAUUUUCAUCUGGAUAAAUUUGAUCGAGUCCCAUGCACAUGUUUUCAAAUUCAAAGACGGGCUUUGGUCAAACUUGGUCAAACGAUGGAGAAAAUGACUGGGAAUGAAAAUAUUUUGAAUACCAAGUUGUUAGAGCUCAUCAAUAUCCAAACUUUUUAUAUAGACCAUUUUUCCAUUUGGAAAAGUUUAUGUAAACAAUACUCACCAAAUCUUGAAUCUCACACAAACUAUAUGAAACUAUACGUGAGAAGUGUGGAUUUCGAACGACACUUUGCCAGCACUUUGUCAAAUGCAAAAAUGGUCUAUAUAUGAAAUGUAGAUCUUAAUGAGUGGAGCAAUAUUGGUAUUCAUGAGUUUUCCAUUUGAGGCCAUCCAUGGUUCCGAAAAUUAGCGUUACGCUAUGAACUCUUUCAAAUUUCAAAAUUGAGUGGUCUAAUCUUUUUCAAAUGAAAAUGUGACCAUUAGAGAAAAUAUAGGUCUUGAUGAGUGCAACAAACUUUGUAUUCAUGAGUUUUCUAUUUGAGGCCAUCCAGGGUUCCAAAAUCUAUCUUACAGCUUUUGAAAAUUUAAAUUUCAAAUUUAUACAAUAAAUGUCGCGCAUUUGUAUAAAUAUUAUUAAAGAAAUAAAAGUUUAACGUCUAAAUGACCCAAAAACCAAGUAUGAAAUAAAAGCCAAUAAUUUUUUAAAAUUUAAUUGCCAUUAUAUUUUUGCAUUAACACAAUAUUCAUUAUAAAUAACAUUAUUUUUGAAUAAUAUGAAAUAUUUGAAAAUCAAUUCUGUUUAGAAUUUUUAUACUGAAGAGUAGAGCAGAAUAAAAUUAAUAUGUAUUUUUUCAACAAUUUUAUUAGAUUUAUUUAAUUUAUAAUGCAUUUAACAAUGUAAAAGGGAAAAAAGGAAAAACUAAAUUAUGGCGCCUAAACUGGCGCCAUAAUUUGGUGAAAACUCUUUGUCUCGGGCCGAGCUAGCGCCCGGGACUAAAGGGUCUUUAAUCUCGGUUCCAGCGAGGAACCGGGACUAAGCUCGGCCCGGGACUAAAGGUGCCCUGCCAUAUAAAGGGCAGAGCCCUUCUUCCUCCUGCCCACCGCGCCCGCGUCGAUCUUACCGUAACCGCCGCCGACCCGUCGUCUUCUCUGCCGCCGCUCCGUCGAUCUCGUCCUUGCCGCCGUCGUCCUUGCUCCGAGCGCCGCACCGAGGACGCCUCGCCGUACGCCGCGCGCCCACCGCCUCUACUCCCUCUCUCUUUCUCUCUUUCUCGUUCUCGCGCGCGCCGCCGCCACCUCGAUCGGGAACCCGCGAGCUCACCAACCGCCGCCACGCGCGGCUGCGCCCUUCGCGCCCGACAACGGCAGCCGGCGGGGGGCAGUGGCGCGGGCCCCAUGCCGUACGCCGUCGGCCGCGCGGCCACAUGCACCCACACCGGCGGCGUCGCCCGAGCCCCCCGCGCCGCUAAGACAGAGAUCGAGAAAGAAAAAAAAUGAAAAAAAUGAAAAAAAAUAUGAAAUAACAAAGAAAUAACUUUAACUAAAUAUAUAGUAAAAAAUAUUGAUAUUUAUAAUACAUAGUUAGGCCUUGUUUAGUUCUAAAAAAUUUUAGGAAAUCGACACUGUAGCAUUUUUGUUUGUAUUUGACAAAUAUUGUCCAAUCAUUGACUAACUAGGCUCAUGCAUACGUAUCGUUCUAAAAAAGUUUCGUAUCGUUAAUUCCGACCAAACUGUGCAAUUAGUUUUUAUUUUCGUCUAUAUUUCAUACUCCAUGCAUGCAUACGUUUAAAGAUUUGAUGUGACGGAGAAUCUGAAAAAUUUUGCAAAAUUUUAUGGGAACUAUGCCUUAGUAUCAUUGAAAAGAUCUUUCGGUCUAGUUUUUUAACAAAUUUAUUUAGAGACUUGGUUUUUGUUUUCUUCUAUAUUUAGUGCUUCAUGCAUGUGCCAGAAUAUGUAAAUGUGAUAUAAUAUUCGUUCCCUCUUUCUUCCUUCUUCCAGAUCGACGUCUCUCUGUCGUCGUCACCGAAGUCCCCGUCGAGUCUCCGCGCCGACUGCCAUCUCUCCGCCGUCUCACCAUUUCAAACUACACGUAUGUCUAGAGAUGGAUCUAUUAGUGGUACAAUUAGUGCUAUAAUUAGUGGUACAAUUAGUGGUAUAAAUUAGUGGUAUAGUUAUGAUAUAUUUAAUUGUUAGCAAAUGAUAUACACUAAACCCUAAACCUAAGCCCUAAGCCCUAAACCCUAAACCCUAAACCCUAAGGAGUAUGUGCCACCCUCAGAAGGUACGAGGACUUGGUACGCAAAUAUACAAGUUGCACGAGUACUACUUGAGAGUCAGCUCAAAACAUAAGGAAGAAGAAUUGAUUGCCGUCCGAGUCUGCGACCGACACUACUUCGGUGGAGAUGACGUCAUACGGAUAGAUUUUAGUGAAGUACACCAGCUUCUCCAUAUGAAUGCUCUCAACAAAUCUCUCAUGAGCUGCUACUGUCUGUAAGUGAUUCUUCCUUUUAAUUAUUAAUCCCAUUAUAGCAUAUGUAUGUAUUCAUAAUAACUACGAUCACGAUGUGUAGACACAUGAUGAGAGAACAAAGAUUGAAAAAAGACAAUCGAAUUGGUUUCAUCGAUCCAUAUGUCGUGUACAAGGACACCAAGACUAAAGAUCCAUUGAAUCUGAAGCCUAAGGAAAUAGGGAAGAACCUCCGGAGGUUCUUUUAUAAUCAAAGCCAUACAGAGAAGAUACUCUUCCUUUACAAUAUGGGGUAAGUGUUGUGUUAUAUCAUGUCUUAGUUAGUCCGGCAUUAAGAUAUAUUUAUAUAUAAGUUGACACUAAACAAAUGCAGAGAUUAUUGGAUACUCAUUGAGAUUAAGAUCAUGGAACAAAAAAUAAAUGUGUGGGACUCAAUGAAAAAGACCUGGCACUCUAUCAAGGCAUAAUAGACAUUGUUGACGGUCCUUAAUGCUCACAUUUAACUGUCAACUAAUCAUGGAAAAGGACCUAUAUGCAACCAACACCUAAAAUUAGGGUUUCAUCUCACAGAAUUCCACGAGUUUUGGUGUUUGUCUAUUUCUGCAGGGGGUUAUCAGGAAAUAUGGAGGAAAGGCCCACAUGUCGGUUGUAACACCCUAGGUGUUAAACAUGCACUUAGUCUCAUCAACUUAUACAUAAGCAUUCUCAUCAAGCAUAGCAUCACAUGAGCAUGUCAUUCAUUCAAAGUGUGAUUUUAUGUGCUUUAUUUUAUGUGAAUUAAAUGUGGUAAAAAUAUUAUGCUUGCUUCUAAAUUCUUGAAUUGCCCAAAUUAGGUUAAAAUAUGUGUUAAAAGAUUUAAGAGUAAUUUUGUGAUAUUUUUGGAGCUAUAGAAAUUAAGAAAUUGAUUUUAUACAAAAAUUCCCAAAAUAGAUUUAUUUGAAAACCUAUAAAUAGUUUUGAGUUGUAUUUCAAAAUCUAUUUGGAAUUUGUGAAUUCAACCUAAAGAAAAGUUGUAGGGUUUUUGAUUUAGAACAACUUUUGUUUUGGAAGAAAAAGGUGAAAAUGAUUUUAAAAUAGUCCAAAUGAAUUUAGAAAGAGUUUGAGAAAAGAAAUUCUAAAAAAAUGGAAAAGGGAAAGGGGGGCGCUAGCAGGCUGCGGCCUCACUUCUGGCCCGCUAGCCGAAGCCGGCCCAGCCCGCCCGCGCCGUGCCGCCGUGGCACGCCGGUAGAGCUCGGCCGCCGCGUGGCGAGCAUGCGGCAGCCUGGAUGCGCCCCGGUCGGCCACCAGGAGCGCCCGACCGCCUCCGUCUCUGCCUCCGCUACCAUUUGCGAUCCUCUACUCGCGCUCUUGCCUUUCGCUCGCCCGCGCGCCGCAGCUGCCGCUCCGCCGCGCGCCAUCGUCGCCGACGACUUGGAGCUUCUCUCUCAGCCAGCUCCGGCCUCAUCCUUCCUCUCCGCGACCGCCAACAGCUCCGCCUCGUCAUUCCGCGUCGCGUGCUCGCGCUCAACCGCACUCGGUGAGUCCCCGCGCGCCCGGGAGAGCUCACCAGAGUGAGUCGGGACUCCGGUGACCUUUCGUUCCGCGUUGUUCUCCCCCUCUACUCCGCCAUUUCUUGCGCUUUUAGGUGUGUUAGCUUCGCCUCGGCCUCGCGAACCGAUUCCGGCCGUUCGAGCACGCUCUACCGCCGCGUGGUGGCCGGACCGCGGCGAGCAGUGCCGCCGUUCCACCAUGGCCGGUGGCGAGCUUGCUCCCAUCCGUUGCCGCGGAAGUAGGUUCGCUGAGUUCGCCUUGAGCCGUAGAACGCGUAGAGCCACUUGGUUCGCCGAGAGAGGCCGCCGACGGUGAGCUCCGCCUCGCCGGAGUCGCCCUCUCUCUGUGUUCUGGCCAGCGGGCCCGGCUAUCAGGCGGGUCCGUCUCGUCAGUGGCCGCGGGUGCACUGCACCGGGUGCACCUAGCUGGUCCCGGGGGUGGAUUUGAAUUGAUUUUCAGAAAAUGCUUUCCGGAAAAUAGUUUAAAUGAUAUAAAAUCCAUAUCUUGAGAUAUAUAGCUCCAAAAAUGAUGAAAUAAAUUGUGGAGUGUUCUAUAAUUCUAGAUCUACAGUUUAGUAUAGUUGCAUGUCUUGUUUAAACAACUUUUCUGUGCAAAUAUAUUUAAUCCAUGUUUUUGCUGAGAAUUGGAAAAUGCAUAGUAAUUAAAAUAUAGUUCAGAAAAAUAUGAAACUUGUUUUGUUGGCUCUGCAUGGAUGAUUAGGCUCUGGGAAAAUUAUGUUACACAUUAUUUGCUGUAUGAAUUAAUUUAUUGUGAUUUAAAUGCUUGCAUGGCAAUGGUUUAUGAUUUUUAAUAAAUAAUUGGAUCAUGCAAUUAAACUACAAAUUUUUGUGGGUAUUUCUUAUGUUAUUAAGUAAAUUAUAAAAAUAUGAAAUCUGCUAUUUGACACUUAUACCACAGUAGGGUAUUUAUACAUGAUUAUAUGGAUUAAUCUUGUGAUUUUUGUAGCCCAAAAUAAAUGUCCAAAUAUUAUGAAAAACUUAUGGUAGACUUUAUGGUUGACUAGUAGUCUACUCUAAUUUUUGUGGAAUUUUUUGUUAAACAGAGAUAUAUGUUACUUUGUAGGUCCAAGAGUGAUUAAAUAAAAUAAGAGUGGUUAUGCAUGAAUUAAAUAGAAUAAAAGAUUGUUUGGUGUAUCUUUGAAGCAUCUUGUGAGCUUGCUGGUUAACCAUGAAGACAACUUGUAGAAGAGAAUGCAAUAUAUGCUUAGUUCGAUUGUUUAUUCUUGGGUGAUGUUGACUACCUCGUAAAAGUGACCACUUAUAUCAUCUAUACACCAUGUCAUAGUCAUCUGUUACCCACUUGCAUAAGCAUUGUAUCUCGGGCAUCUCGCACUCCACUCAUGAGCACACAUGCAUCAUACAGGCUCGCAGGAGAACGAGGUGGGACCCGAGGAGCAAGAGGAGACCCUGGAGCAGGAACCUCUGGGAGGACUAGAGACCGGAGAGGAGCUGUAGGAGUGCCCGGACCACAGACCGAGCACGUUUGAGAAAGGCAAGCCCCCGAGCAUUCUAAGUCUCCCUAUUCUCGCUAACUUAAAUGAGAUAUUAUGUUUGUUCUACUAUGUUGCAUUUAAGUGAUAGGAAUUGCUUGAUACCGUUGAUGCAUAAGUACUCCUUGAUAUCACCACUUGUUUAUCUACCUUGUCCUAUGUAGAUAGGCACAGAGUCCAUGCUUAGUUUGCUUAGUCCGGUAGAAGUUGGGUGAUUUCCUGUCACCUGCGAGAUAUAGGUGGACACCUGUUUGAUUAGCUGUGAUUGCUAUGAGGAUGAAUAACCAAGUGUGGAAAGGAAUUUGAGACCGGGCAGGGUCUUGUGGUGGGUUGAUCAUAGUGCCCCUGCCUGUGUCGAUUAAGGACCGAUCGUUGACGGCCCUCUUGUCAUGUUGAACGCAUGCCCCACACUUAGCUGGAAGGAUAAGUCGUUCCGACCGCGAAGCCUGAGCACUAUCUGGGCCGGGAAUCGGCCCGAUGUACGCGCUGUAUUGGUGAUGGUUGAGGAGAACGACGAGGGCGCAGCGCACAACCUUUGUAUACGUUGGAUACCUCGGCUGCCGGAACGGUCCUCGGGUACGGGCGGUGCCUGUCGAACCCGCGAAUUGGUCGUGGAUAAUGCAACACGGUGAUCUGUAGCUCACUUGAUCAGUGUGUGUGGUUUGUGUGGGGAAUAAACUCACCAGCUGGUCAGAAAUCGAUUCGAAUCGCCAUCACUCCUGGAUAGUGAGCACUUGACAUGAGCCCUGUCCUCGUAGUAAGGACUAUGGAACAUUUGGGUUAUGAUGAUAAAUGAUUUAUGAAUGCUAUGAUGAGGUACCAUCAUAUUACUACACUUGCUUGUAAUAGUACAGGUGCAAACCUAGAUAAUAGGUACGAUAUUAUCAAACUUGAGCUAAUGAAAAGAAGAAAGGUCUCUAGGCUAUGUUUUAGCGGAAUAAUGCUUUUAUGAAAAGAGUCUCAGCUUCCCCACCAUACAGCCUUCAUGAUCCUUGAAGAGUCUUGAUUUUUGGUUUAUGACGGGUAAGUCUAGCUGGGUACAUUCUCGUACUUAGGGUUCUAUUCCCGUGUUGUUUUGCAGAUGGUCAAAUGUAUUAUGGUUAUUGCAUCCUCUGCUUGUACCCAGCAAUGGGUGACGACUAGACCAAGGGCGAUGGUCACUCUCGCUUCUCUUUUGCUUUUGUGGGAAUAACCGAACUAUGGCACUGUAUCAAACUAAAUGUGUGUGUUUUAUUUUCAAACUAUGAAGCUUCCGCUACGUGAGAACUUGGUUUGUAAUAAUUUUAAGUACUCUGAUGUAUUUGAUGAAUGUUGUGAACUGGAUGUAAUUGUGAAUGGUGACCGCUGAACUUAUUACGAUCUUGGCUGUAUGUAUGAUUUGUGGUUUGAAAUCCUUCGAGAUUUCAUGGACUACCGGGAUUAUAUGGGCUUAAGCUCGGUGGUUUGACUGUGCAAAUGGUCACUAUCAAGCUUAAUCUCUUAUAAUUUGGGCGGUUCUGUUACAUCGGGUUUACACAGAGAUAUUAACGUGUGCGCCAAUUUUCUAUCAUCUAGAAGACUUCAGAAGCCAUGGGAACGAACGGGAGGCCGAGCGGGCCCGAGGGCUGGGUGCGCGCCCUCCCCCCUUCGGCAACUGCCCUGCCCUGGUGACCAAUCAGGGCAGGUCUCGCGGAUCGUGCUCCAUCGCCUUUGAGGAUCAAGGAAAACCGUGCGAUUAAGGUCGGUUUGAUCCGACGGCCCUCGUUCAUUUGGAAGGGCUAUAUAAGCAGGCCCCCUUGCCCCUGGAGAACAUAUCACUUCUACAGAAUCAAAGCUAGGGUUUCAAUUAUUCAUCCAAGUAGAGAGGAUCCCUCUAGUUCAUCUAGUUCUAGUUCAUAUAGUUCUAGUUAUAGUUAGUUCUAGGUUUAAUCUAGAAAAUAGGGAGAGGGAAGAGGAGAGCGGAGGAGGAGCCGGAUCUGUCGGAUCGUCCUCAACAUUGUACUUUUGCAGCAACUGGUUCGUUCUUCAUCGUUCUCCAAGUUCUUCAAUUCAUAAUUCCUGAGUUCUUCAAUUACUUUUAUUUACAUUCAAGUUAUUUUUUGGAUUCCCGCUUGCAUCAAGUGCUCUGUUCUUUAUAAUGCUAGAGUAGUAAUUAAUAGAUUAGACGUGGUGUUUAGUCUUGCAAUUACCUGGAAUUGCACCCAAUCCUGCGGAUUGUUGUGGUAGCCCUAGGGUAGUGACAGCCCUAACGGUCGACGUAUUCCACCUCGUUCGAAUCAGUGUUUGUAGGACCAUAGUCAGAGCUUCCUAGCCCCCUUCUCAUCUCUUUCUGUGGUCAGUGUUCUGAUGUCCCAAAAUAAAUAAUCUUUGAAGUAAUUCUUGAUUCUUAGAUCAACUAGAGAACUCUUAGGAAACUUCCUCUCUUCCCACCAAAAAUAAUUAUAUAGUUAUCCUUCGGAGAUCUUGAAUCUUAAUUAGUACACUCACGUUCCCUAUGGAAAAUCGAUACCCUAGAAUACUCCUGGGUGAAAGCUACAUCGAUAUCCGUGCGCUUGCGGAUUUUUCUGUUUGCGUUUAAAAUACCCAACAAGCUUUCUGGCGCCGUUGUCGGGGAACGAUAGUUGUGCUAGUUUCGAACCAAGUCAUCCGUGUAUCCUUUUUCUUUUCCUUUUUUUACCACACUCACCUUACAAUUUUCACCACACCACAUGGAUUUCACUCCUAUCUAUAAAUUAUUUGCUCCAAAGGGCGAGUUAUUAGAGCCACCACCAUCAUCACAUCCAAUUCUUACAGAUGGUUACGACCUCGGCCUUGAUCUAGUAGCGAUGAUUCAGGAGCAACCCGAAGUAGAUGAAUAUCCAUACACCCACGUUAGAGAAUUCGAGCAGUUGUGCUCUUGCCAAUCUAUUUCCGGCAUGACACAAGAAACCCUUAAAUGGAAAUUAUUUCCGUUCUCCCUUUUGGGUAGAGCAAAAAAGUGGUAUGCUCAUUUUGUAGGAGGCGUUAAUGGAAAUUUGGAUGAACUUCAGGACAACUUUUGUCUCACUUUCUUCCCACUUUUUCGAAACGCUGACCUUAGAAUCAAAAUUCUUACAUUCAAACAAAGAGAGAAGGAAACUUUAGGAGCAGCUUGGGCUAGGUUCACAAACCUUACCAAUUCUUGUCCAAACCUUUACCUGCCUGACCAUGUGCUAUACUACCAUUUUUAUCGUGGUCUAAACAAGGAAGCUGCUCUUCACCUCGACAUUGCUUCAGGAGGCUCAUUCUCACACAAACUCAUAGAUGAGGGGAGAGCUAUCCUAGAGAGAAUCCUUGAAAAUACACCUUACACAGGCAUUUAUGAUGAGUUUCCUGAAGAAGAAAAAGAAGUCGAGCCUAAUCCUAAACCAAAAGAAGAGGAACUUGCAACUGAGUUAGAAAUUCCACCUGACCCAUCUAUUAAUUUGGCUGUAGAGAAACCUCCUGAUAAGGGAAUGCAAAACCAACUAACGGAUAAUGAACCACCACCCUUAGAGCAUCCCUUUGAAUUCGAGGAAGAUCUUUUUGAAGAUUAUGGAAACACCUCAAAUUUUCCUAUCCAAACACGACCUCUAGCAGGGACCACUCAAUCCGUUCUAAGAGUAGAAUCUGUUGACAUAGAACACAUCAAAAGCCUUUCGGCUAUUCUGAGUUAUGAAUGGCUAACAGAAGUAGAGCUGUCACCUAAGGUAGCUCGGAUCAUCACUCCGUCAACAAUUCUUCUGUGCCAAAUUAGAGGGUCCGCUAGCAAGGUCCACUACAAUCCAUAUGUUGGGAUAAAUGUAAUUUCCAAGGAGUUAGCUGACACUCUUUAUCCCAACGAGUCCAUAACCCCAUCUCAAAAACUUUUACAAAGUCCAUCUAGAUUAAUUCUAGAAAGCUAUGGGGUAUUAAGGGCAGUUCCUAUUAGAAUCAAGGACUCUGGAAUAUGUCUAGAUUUUCACAUUUUUGACAUACGAGAGAUUCCUCUCUUGAUUGGCGGACCAAUCAUGAAACUUCUACAAGAACAACCACAACGAGGUCAUUUAGACUUCAAGGAUGGGAAUUCCACUAUUGUUGUUCCUCUUGCCAGAUCAAUUAACACGAUAGUGGAACCCAAACUUGAAUCAGAUCCUAUGGAGGAGAUCUUAAUGCUGACUCAAGAGGAGAUGGCCCAACCAUUCUUGAAUCAUGAACACUUUGUUCAAGAAGAAGAAGAGUUGGUAGAACCCAUUGAGCUAGACAAAAAUGAACAACCUUCACCUCCUUCGAUAGAGUUCUUCCUUCUGGCCUUAGAUAUGUCUUUUUGCACAACAACCCAAAAACUCCAGUAAUUAUCAGUGACAAGCUUUCCGAUUAUGAAACACAACAACUUGUCACUGUUCUUGAAAGGCAUAGAUCAGCAUUUGGCUACUCUCUCGAAGAUCUCACGAGCAUUAGUCCCAUUCUCUGCACUCAUCGUACCCCUAUUGAUCCUAAUUUUACACCUUCAAGGGAACCACAACGGAGACUUAACAAUGCUAUGCGAGAGGUUGUUAAGAAAGAGGUCCUCAAACUCUAUCGUGCUGGGAUUAUUUAUCAUGUGCCACAUAGUGAGUGGGUUAGCCCUGUCCAAGUAGUGCCAAAGAAAGGAGGAAUGACGGUGGUUUCGGAAUGAGAAGAAUGAACUCAUCCCUCAACGAAUUGUCACUGGGUGGCGUAUGUGUAUUGACUAUCGAAAGCUCAACAAGGCUACAAAGAAAUAUCACUUUCUGUUACCCUUCAUUGAUGAAAUGUUGGAACGGCUUGCAAACCACUCUUUUUUUGUUUCCUUGAAGGUUAUUCUGGAUAUCACCAAAUCCCAAUCCACCUAGAUGACCAAGAAAGGACUACCUUUACAUGCCCGUAUGGAACUUAUGCAUAACGACGAAUGUCGUUCGGAUUGUGUAAUGCUCCAGCUUCUUUCCAACGGUGCAUGAUGUCUAUUUUCAAGGACAUGAUUGAGAAGAUCAUGGAGGUUUUCAUGGAUAAUUUUUCCGUCUAUGGCAAAACCUUCGAUCAUUGUUUGGAGAAUUUAGAUAGAGUCUUGCAGCGAUGUGAAGAAAAGCACUUAAUCCUGAACUGGUAGAAAUGCCAUUUUAUGGUUUAGGAAGGAAUAGUGCUAGGACAUAAAGUGUCUGAACGUGGUGUAGAGGUGGACAAAGCAAAGAUUGAAGUUAUUGAAAAACUUCCACCUCCUACGAAUAUGAAAGGAAUACGUAGCUUUUUGGGACAUGCAGGGUUCUAUAGACGCUUUAUCAAGAACUUCUCUCAAAUUGCUAGACCCCUAACUAGUCUCCUAGCUAAGGAUGCACCUUUCAUCUUUAGUGAUGAGUGUCAUGAAUCUUUUCAAACUCUUAAGAAAGCACUCAUCUCAGCCCCAGUUAUCCAACCACCUGAUUGGAAUCUUCCUUUCGAGAUCAUGUGUGAUGCUAGUGAUUUUGAGGUUGGUGCCGUUUUAGGACAAACCAAGGAUAAAAAGCAUUAUGCCAUAUCCUACGCUAGCAAAACCUUGUCUGGACAACAGCUCAAUUACACUACAACUGAAAAAGAGCUUUUGGCUGUUGUCUUUGCUAUAGACAAGUUUAGAUCUUACUUAGUGGGGGCAAAGAUAAUCAUCUAUUCAGACCAUGCUGCUCUCAAGUACCUCCUCACUAAGAAAGAUGCUAAGCCUCGUCUAAUUCGAUGGAUUCUUCUACUCCAAGACUUUAACAUAGAAAUCCGAGAUAGGAAGGGAGUAGAGAAUUCCAUAGUCGAUCACUUGUCUAGGCUUCAAUAUAAGGAAACACAUGAUGAGCUUCCCAUAAAUGACUACCUAAGGGAUGACACCCUGCUUAAGAUAACACAUGCAGAUCCAUGGUACGCAGACAUCGUAAACUUUAUAGUAAAAGGCUAUGUCCCACCGGGUACAAACAAAAGGAAGUUACUUCAUGAUAGUCGUUUCUACCUUUGGGAUGAGCCAUAUCUUUUCCGAGUCUGCGCUGAUGGACUCUUGAGGAGGUGUGUUCCUAUGGCUGAGGCUACUCAAAUUAUGGAAAGAUGCCAUGCCUCGCCAUAUGGAGGACACAAUGGAGCAUUCCGGACACAUGCUAAAAUUUGGCAAAGUGGUUUUUUCUGGCCAACGAUGUAUGAAGAUAUUGGACUUUGUCAGGAGAUGCCACAGAUGUCAAAAACAUGGGAAUAUCAACUCGCAAAAUGAAAUGCCUCUCACAAAUAAUCUUCAAGUAGAACUUUUCGAUGUAUGGGGCAUUGAUUUCAUGGGCCAUUCCCUAUGUCUGGGAAUUACGAGUAUAUCUUAGUAGCUGUGGACUACGUGUCCAAAUGGGUAGAAGCCCUACCUUGUUGAUCAGCUGAUUCAAAACAUUCCAAGAGAAUGUUCCAUGAAGUAAUCUUUCCUCGCUUUGGUAUACCUCGGAUAGUUAUAAGCGAUGGAGGUUCCAACUUCAUCGACAAAAUCUUCCAGAAGUACCUAGCCGAUCUUGGAGUUCGACACAAUGUCGCAACACCAUACCAUCCUCAGACUAGCGAUCAAGCCGAAACAUCUAACAAACAAAUCAAAAAUAUUUUACAAAAGACCGUAGAUGAGAUGGGUAAGGGGUGGAAAGACAAACUUCCUGAUGCACUUUGGGCAUAUAGAACUGCAUUCAAAACACCCAUAGGCAUGUCACCUUAUCAACUUGUAUAUGGAAAAACUUGUCAUUUGCCUGUGGAAGUAGAGUUUAAGGCUCACUGGGCACUCAAGAAAUGGAACAUGGAUCUCCACCUCGCUAGCGAGAAUCGUCUGAUGCAACUAUCUGAGAUAGAAGAAUGGAGAGGGAAAGCCUACCACAAUUCAAGGAUCUAUAAAGAGAGAACAAAACGAUGGCAUGAUAAGAGAAUCAAGCACAAGGUGUUUAAGCCUGGAGAUAAGGUUCUACUAUUCAAUUCAAGAGUUAAGCUCUUUGGGCAUGGUAAGCUACGAAGUAAGUGGGAUGGACCAUACAAGGUUAUUUACACUUCAACUCAUGGAGCCAUUACCAUCCAAGACGACAUAGGUAACACUUUUAUGGUAAAUGGUCAACGCUUGAAAAUCUAUCUCGAGCCACAAAACAACGUGGUAGAGGAACUUGAUGUGAUUGAGUUCAUAGAAUUCUCACAUUAAGCUCUCAUAAGCUCUAGACAAUUACCUAACCCUUAACAUGCUCCACGAGUUUUGUUGUCUAUUUGGGUUGUGCAGGAUAUUGAGGCUUAAGAAGAGUGAGACCGAACAUGCAGGCCACAAAGAGUGAAUGACUAUGUCAUCAUCGAGCUUGGGGGAGGCACCCCCACAUGUAUCUAGAUAAGUAUUACUUUUCUUUCUUGGUUUUAUUUACUAGUAUUCGGAAAUAAAUAAAAAAAAUGCAUAACCAUGAAACCAAACAAAGUUUUUCUUUUGAGUAAUACACAAUAGUUUUGUGUAAUCCUAAGUUUUAAAUAAAAUAAAAAGAAAGUCUGAUCCAAGUCUAGGUAAUUGAUAAACAUGAUAUGAGAAAGUCUGAGCUACUAUUUAACUUGUUCCAAGUUUCGCUAGAGUUCUAGAGAUUUUAUCUUUUGAAAAUCUUUAAAAAAUGAGAUCCUGUUUGACAUAAUACCUUGAGUCUUAUAAGAUAUUGUCGAGGGUGUCAAUAAGGGGUACCCAAACUAAUACGCAUAACAACAAUACCCGUACACCGAGGCCCCUGACUCGACGUCCCAGAUUCAUACGCUCGAUUGCCAAAACGCGAUGACGACCAUAUCCUCGAAUAUGGAGAAGGGGUCAUGCGAAUCGGCUGAGGCUUGACUAAGCAUCGACCAUCGAAUACAGAACUGGCUCAUACGAAUCGACAGGCCUCGAGUGCAAGGACGCCGCCCGCCGCUUGACAUGGGUACAAGAACCAGGGCAUUUAAUGCGCCUGUUGCGUACUUGUUGACGGUUCUUAAGUAUCAAUUUUAAUUAUCAAAUAAACAAGAGAAAGGACCAAUAUGCAACUAACACCUAGAAUUAGGGUUUGAUCUAACAGAAUUCCACGAGUUUUGUUGUUUAUCUAUUUCUUCAGGGGGUUAUCAGAAAAUAAGGAAGAAAGGCCCACAUGUCGGGAUUACAUAGAGAUAUCAACACACCGCACGAUUUUCCACCAUCUAGAAGACUCCAGAAGCCACGGGAAGAAGACGGAGGCCGAAAGGGGCCAGGCCCAGGGCGCCCGCCCUGGUGACCUGGGCGCCCGCCCCCUGCUGGAUUGCUUUCAGCACUCUCUUCGCUCGGGAUAUUCCACUGACCUAUUGGAUCGAGAAAAACAUAGUACCACCUCGCCUAUCGACCCAAAAACGCAGAGAAGGGGAGGACUAUAUAAGGAGACCCCCCUGGCCCCUGGAGAAGACAUGAAGAAAUUAUCAUAGAGACUGAGGGGUGCCGAAGGAAAACCUCUUCUCUAAUUAAUAUUUCUUUUUAGGCUUAGCAAUCAAUGUAAGGUAGAAAUAGAUCUUCUAGUUUCUACUAGAUUGAGAGAGAUAGAGUGGAGGUGUUGAUUGGAGGAAGCCCGGCCUGUCGGUGUCUAUUCCAAGCUUGUACCUGCGGGAUCAAGUUCUCCUAACCCGAAGCUUGCUCCUAGGAUUCUUCAGUAAUUCGACUUCUAAAUUCUAGUAAGUUCUUGUUUUAUUGUUCUUAUGGUUUAUGAGUUUACUUUAAUCUCUUCGCGUAGAGUUUAGAGUAAUCAUUGCUGGCGUAAACGUGGUGUUUAGGCUGGGGUACUCAUAGAUAUUCCCUGACUAGCUGGACCGUGGUAGUAGUGAGGAACGUGACAAUUCCGAGCUACCUUUGUAGAUCACAUCUCGUUAGCAGGAAGGAUAGGGUUUAUAGGUGCGGGUUGAACAUCCUUUGUGGUGUCUAGAUUCCGUUAGCCUCCCCAUUAGAACAGUAGAUCAUCCUUACCAAGGUUAGAAGGAGACUACGGUUGCAGUCUUCUCUAUUUAUCACUCACAUCGAAAGACAUUCUUUGUGCCUAAAGGUUAGUAGUAAUAGACCGGUUAGUCAGAUGCACUCUUUCUCCUAGUGGUAAAAAAAUAAAUACGAUACUCUGGAUAAUUUCCCGGGUGAAGUGCUCACCGAUAUCCUGAGAAAGACGGUUGGUGAGAUAACCUGAGUCUUGCUACUAGCUUGUAUCUAUGAAUCUUUUAUCUUUUAUAUUCUUUAUUUUCUUUACUCUUACCUUAUGGAAAACCAAAAUUCUAAAUCAAUCCAUGAAUCUGCAAUCCCUUUAGCAACUGACCUUUUACCAUGGGAGUCAUCACAGCCUGUCCAAACAUCCCAGUAUAAGUUAAGUUCUAGGUUGAUUGCCAUGAUUCAAAACCUAUCUUUUUCGGGAAAGGAAGACGAAAACCCUUACCUUCAUAUUAGAGAUUUUGAGCAAACAUGUGAUUGUCUUCGCAUUGAAGGCAUUUCUUAUAAAACUUUACGUUGGAAGCUUUUUCCUUUUUCCUUAAGGGGAGAAGCUAGACAAUGGUACAGUCAGAAGGUAAGUCAACAACAAGGUGAAUGGGGAGUUUUACGAGCCAACUUUUGUCUAGAUUUAUAUUCCCUUGACCGUAUAGCCGACCUUAGACUCGAAGUCCUAUCUUUUAAACAAAAAGAUAAUGAAACUUUGGGGAAAUCCUGAAAACGUUUUUCUGAUCUUUUAGAAUCUGGUCCAAACCUUAAUCUUGAAGACCCUGUUCUUUUAUUUCACUUUUUUCAAGGUCUUCAGAAAAAUCACAAACAAAUGCUACACACAAUGUCUAGAGGUUCUUUCUUUCGCAUCCCUGCUGAUGAAGCUAGAGUGAUCCUAGAUAGAAUCCUAGAAGCUGAGAUGGAUAAUACCCUUCAUGAUGAAACCUACGAAGCUGAAGUAGACACUCUGCCAAAUUCUUCAUCUACUUUAGCUAUCCCAAGUUCUGAGCCACAAGAGGAAGAAAUUCCACCACCGGACUUCAUGCUGGAUAUAGAAUCCGAUCUUUUUGCCGAUUUUGGAAAUAUUUCAAACUACCAUUCUAUUGACAAACCCCAAAACGGCCAAUUUAGCAUUUAUUUGCCAAGUGAAUAUCAAUUGAGAGAGCUUAUCUCAGUAAUGAGUAGCGAAUGGUUGGAGGAAUCAGAGCUUUCCUCUAAUGUGAUCCGUUUGGACACAGCCUCUAUAACUAUACGCUGUGCUUAUAAUUCUGAUCGAUUUAAUGCUCUCUAUAAUCCUAUUGUGGGGAUCAACAUCAUGUCUGAAUAUUUUGCACUUAAACUAUUUAAAAAUCUUGUCUUAACCCCCACAACAAAGGUCAUAAAGGAAUCUUCGGGACGAUUAGUCCCCAGUCUUGGAAUUAUUAAUGUCCUACCUCUUACGGCAGAAGGAUCCAUGGUUCAUUUGAACUUCUAUAUCUUUGAUACAUGGGACUUCGACCUGUUAAUAGGACAACCUUUUAGAAGACUCCUUUAUGAAGGUCAUACUAGAAAGCUACACAUUUCUUUUGGAAAAACUUUUAAAUUCCCAAUAACAAUUUCACACUCCUUAAACAAUAAGGCCGAGUCAUAUCUUUUGCCUGAUCCUAUGGAGGAAGUAAAGGCUGCAUCUCUAGAGCUUUUAGAUGAACCAGACUUAGAAGACGAAACUCCUUUCUUCACAGAAGAAGAAGACGAACCUUCUGAGCCUGAACACUUAGAUGAGUUUGCAGAAACACCUAGACCCCCCAUAGAGCUUAAAACUUUACCACCCGGUCUUACUUAUGCUUUCCUAAACAAUAAUCCAGAGUUCCCUGUGAUCAUUAGUGAUAAACUCACUCAGGAUCAAACUCUGCGAUUAAUGACCAUUCUUGAGAAACAUCACUCAGUUUUCGGCUACUCACUCCAAGAUCUUACAGGAAUCAGUCCUAUGAUUUGUACCCAUCGUAUUCCAACAGAUCCUUCUGUUUCACCCUCUCGAGAACCCCAACGUAGACUUAAUAAUACUAUGAGAGAGGUAGUUAAAAAGGAAGUUAUAAAGUCGCUGCAUGCAGGGAUUAUAUAUCCUGUGCCGCACAGUGAGUGGGUAAGCCCAGUACAAGUUGUGCCCAAAAAGGGAGGCAUGACUGUUAUUAUGAAUGAAAAGAACGAGCUAAUUCCGCAACGCACCGUCACAGGAUGGCGGAUGUGCAUAGACUAUAGAAAACUAAACAAAGCCACAAGAAAAGAUCACUUUCCUUUACCUUUCAUAGAUGAGAUGCUAGAGCGGUUAGCAAACCAUUCAUUCUUUUGUUUCUUAGAUGGAUAUUCAGGGUAUCAUCAAAUCCCGAUCCAUCCCGAUGAUCAAAGCAAAACCACUUUUACAUGCCCGUAUGGAACUUAUGCUUAUCGUAGAAUGUCUUUUGGGUUAUGUAAUGCACCAGCUUCUUUUCAAAUAUGCAUGAUGUCUAUAUUUUCUGAUAUGAUUGAAGAGAUUAUGGAAGUUUUCAUGGAUUAUUUCUCUGUUUAUGGAAAAACUUUUGACAGUUGUCUUGAAAACUUAGACAAGGUUUUGCAAAGAUGUGAAGAAAAGCACUUAAUCCUUAAUUGGGAAAAAUGUCAUUUUAUGGUUAGGGAAGGAAUAGUGCUGGGACACUUAGUGUCUGAAAGAGGAAUUGAGGUAGACAAAGCUAAAAUUGAAGUAAUUGAACAAUUACCUCCACCUGUAAACAUAAAAGGAAUUCGAAGCUUUCUUGGCCAUGCUGGUUUUUAUCGUAGAUUCAUAAAAGAUUUUUCAUUUAUUGCUAGACCACUUACUCUUUUGCUAGCCAAGGAUGCUCCUUUCGAAUUUGAUGAUGCAUGUCUAACAUCGUUCAAUUUAUUAAAGAAAGCACUCAUCUCUGCACCAAUCAUUCAACCCCCUGAUUGGUCGCUGCCUUUUGAAAUUAUGUGUGAUGCUAGUGAUUAUGCUGUGGGGGCAGUAUUGGGACAAACUAAAGAUAAGAAGCAUCAUGCAAUUGCUUAUGCCAGUAAAACUUUGACAGGAGAUCAACUUAACUAUGCAACCACUAAAAAAGAGCUUCUGGCUGUUGUCUUUGCCAUUGAUAAAUUUAGAUCUUAUUUAGUUGGAGCUAAAAUAAUUGUUACUAAUCAUGCUGCACUAAAAUAUUUGCUCACUAAAAAAGAUGCUAAACCUCGCCUGAUUAGAUGGAUCUUAUUACUCCAAGAAUUUGACUUAGAAAUAAAAGAUAAAAAAGGAGUAGAAAAUUCUGUUGCUGAUCACUUGUCUAGAAUGUAUUUCAAGAGUCCACAGGAAACCCCCAUCAAUGAUUCACUUCGGGACGACAUGCUCUACGGGAUUAACAGGUCUGACCCCUGGUAUGCAGAUAUUGUUGAUUUUAUGGUUUCAGGGUAUGUACCACCAGGAGCAAACAAGAAGAAGCUUAUUCAAGAAAGUCGUUCACAUAUAUGGGAUGAGCCAUACCUCUUCCAAGUAUGCUCUGAUGGCUUACUCAGGAGAUGUGUGACCAUUGAGGAAGGAUGGAAGAUCAUCGACAGAUGUCAUUCAUCACCAUAUGCCAAGGUCACUAUGGAGCAUUCCGUACACAUUCAAAGAUCUGGCAGUGUGGACUCUACUGGCCUACAAUGUAUGAAGACACGAGGCAAUAUAUCAGAAGAUGUGGGCCAUGUUAAAGACAUGGAAACAUAAAUACAAGGGAUGCAAUGCCACUCACCAACAACCUUCAGAUUGAGCUCUUUGAUGUCUGGGGAAUAGACUACAUGGGUCCAUUUCCUCCAUCAAAGAAGUGCGAGUACAUCUUGGUGGCGGUUGACUAUGUCUCCAAGUGGGUAGAGGCAUUACCUUGCAAGCAUGCUGACAACGUCAGUUCAAAGAGGAUGUUUGAAGAAAUUAUAUUUCCAAGAUUUGGAGUCCCCAGAGUAGUGAUAAGUGAUGGAGGAGCACACUUCAUCGACAAACGCUUCAAGCAAUAUCUAUCAAGACAUGGAAUCCGUCACAACGUCGCUACCCCUUAUCAUCCUCAGACAAGUGGCCAAGCAGAGACUUCCAACAAACAAAUCAAGAAUAUUCUUCAGAAGACAGUAAAUGAAAUGGGAACGGCGUGGAAAGACAAGUUACCUGAUGCACUCUGGGCAUACCGGACAGCAUACAAGACCCCAAUUGGAAUGUCUCCAUACCAAUUGGUGUACGGGAAGACUUGCCAUCUACCUGUUGAACUAGAGUUCAAAGCACACUGGGCCAUAAAGAGAUGGAAUAUGGACCUAGAUGUUGCUGGAGAUUAUAGAAGAAUGCAACUAUCAGAAUUGGAAGAAUGGUGAGAGAAGGCAUAUCACAACUCAAAGAUCUACAAAGAAAGAGUAAAAAGGUGGCAUGACAAGAGAAUCAAAAAGAAGGAGUUCACACCCGGAGAUAAGGUAUUACUUUUUAAUUCCAGGGUGAAGCUUUUCGGGCAUGGAAAACUCCGGAGCAAAUGGGAAGGACCAUUCAAGGUAAUUAAUUCAUCAUCCCAUAGAGCUAUCACACUUCAAAAUGACGAAGGUACGUUAUUCAAGGUAAAUGGUCAACGUCUUAAAUUAUUUUUAGAGCCCAAUGAGGAAUUUGAAGAAAUAGACGUAUUCCACUUUUACCUUCCCAUGGAGAAUUAGAGCCCGACCUUUUUAGUCUGAUGUUUUUGGGUCAUAUAUAUAUUUUUCUAAAUAAUUUCGUAUCUAGAAACGUGCUCGAGAAAGUGGGCCCACAGAGGGGCCAGAGAGAGGGCGGGCGCCCAGCUCAGGUGGGCGGGCGCCCAGCUCCUGUUCCCCCUCGGUCCCGAUUUUCUCUGUUAUGGAAAAUGCACUUAUGGUAAUUCGAAUAAUCCCUCGGAUGGAAAGUUUCCCACGCAAGUCGACGGGAGCAACCUGAACAACCCAUAGAGGCACCCUUUUGACCCCUAUAUAAACAGACCCUGACCUCAGUUUUCAAACACCAAGCCACCAAUCCUUCUCUCCUUCAAUUAGAGCUUGAUUAGCUCUCCUUAAAUUAGAGCUUGAUUAGUUCCUUGCUGCUCCAAUGGCCGAGAAGUACCACGAUGAUUGGGAAGUCGUCCCCUUCAACCUCAACAUGGAGCUUGUGGAAGACCCCGAUGCCCGUGCUCUCGUCCCGGCCAACACAGAGCGACAGCUAGAAGCUAUGCCAUUACGCCAACGCAGCUCCGCCCAAUCUUACAAUGCUCAACCAGUUCUCACCGCACCGCCACAACCCCUACUCCUCAAAGGAUCAUCAUCCAAGAUAAAGACCACUAUCAAGGUGCCAACCGGCACAAGGAUCCUUGCACCUAGACCCAAUGAGAGGGUCGUUGGAGUCAAGACCAACCGGAGCGGUGAGAUCAGCAGUAUUCGCUACACUACGGAGGAGGAAAGGCCUUUGAAGGGAUUAGACCAGCCAAAGUCCGUUUCAUCCCUCCAAAGGCAGCCCCGAAGCACUCUCUCAAUGCUUUUGAGACACCUCCCAAGCGUCGCAAGACUAUAAUGGAUAUUGAUGAGGAAGUUCGCAGGCUAGAUAGAGUUAUCAUAGAUCUCCAGUCCUCGAUCAACUCCCUCACUAGCCAGCUCUCUAACCACAACACUAUUAUACUAGGCCUUAGGCAGGAUCUUGCCAGUGCCAACAAGAAGAUCAAGGAAUUAGAGCGCCGCUAAGUUAUCUAGAUUAGACCUUGAGGCAAUGCAUUUUAGUUAUCUAUCUUUAAAUUCGGUUUAGGUUUGCAAUUAUCAUCAGUUUGCUAUUAUCAUCAGUUUGUUAUCAGUUUGCUACUAGUCUUUUGUAAUAAAUGCCUCAAGAUUAAUAAAGAGUAUUACUAUUAUUAUUAUUAUGUCUUGUGUGUCUCUACUUUAUUUUUGUGCAAGAAAGCAAAAAAACAAGUAUGGGGGAGAUCCCUCGACAUGCCAACCACACUCCUACUACACCACUCCACGAUUCAGGUACACACUCUGCACACUUUACACAUACAUAUAUUUUGGAUUAUGCAGAUUAUUGUUUCCGACAUGAUAAAAUAAAAAGAUUAAAAUAUUUCUAAUCAUGAUUAAUCUCAAUAUGUGAUAUUUCCUGAAAACUUACAAUUAUUGAAAAUCAUUUUAAAACCCUGUGUCACUUAAGUCAAUAUGGAAUAUGUGAUGGUAGAGUAUGAGUUUCUUAUUCUUGAUAUCAUUGUUGCUUGGAGAAUUUAUUUCAAAAUAUUCAAAAUUAUAGCUACCAUCCUCAGUGUUUUAUGGCUGAUAAGACUGAAAAUAUUAAUUAUAAUUAUAAAAGCUAUCUACUCUGUAUUGAGUUUGUUCAAAAUGAGUUAGACCCUUGUUGAGAGAUUUAUCAUGCUCCUAAGAUCAAGACAGUAUUUCAGAAAGAUUCACUCUUCCGAAGUAUUAUUGCAUUAGAGGCAUGGGCUAUGCAUAAAUAGAAAUAUUUCGAGGAAAUAAAAAGGAGCAAGUGCUCGACAACAUCGCAGAAAAAAAUGGACAAGUGUCCGGCAGUAGAAUUAGGGGUACCUCGGUAUCCACUUAAAAAAAAUAUACCCCAUGGUCCCUCUAAUAAGCAAUAUGCCAGCAAGAGUUGACAAAGAUUUUAAUUUCCAAAGUUUUUGAUCUAAGAGUAUGACAUUCCCCUCCUCGGAUCCCGUUUUGAUCAGGCAAUAAAUGCAAAGUAAGUAUGCUUGAGAAUUUUUGCAAAAAUAAAACAGCCUCAGUGAGAUAUAUACAAAAGAUAAUGAGUGAUCUGAGAGAACCUAUGAGGAUAAAAAGGUAUGCUAACUUUCUUUCAAAAAUAUACAAAAACUCCAAGUGACAGGAUUGAGAAGAAAGGAUCUCUACUCUUAACCAUAAACUUCCCUGACUAUGGUACAUAGUGGAAUUUUUAACACCCUGCAAUUAUAUAAAGAAUGUUUUAAAUGUUUUACCCCAGAUAUUGUUCUUAACCAUCCUUUUCUCGAGGACGAGUAAAAGCCUAAGUAUGUGGGUAUUUGUUGACGGUUCUUAAGUAUCAAUUUUAAUUAUCAAAUAAACAAGAGAAAGGACCAAUAUGCAACUAACACCUAGAAUUAGGGUUUGAUCUGACAGAAUUCCACGAGUUUUGUUGUUUAUCUAUUUCUGCAGGGGGUUAUCAGGAAAUAAGGAAGAAAGGCCCACAUGUCGGGAUUACAUAGAGAUAUCAACACAUCGCACGAUUUUCCACCAUCUAGAAGACUCCAGAAGCCACGGGAAGAAGACUGAGGCUGAAAGGGGCUAGGCCCAGGGCGCCCGCCCUGGUGACCUGGGCGCCCGCCCCAUGCUGGAUUGCUUUCAGGACUCUCUUCGCUCGGGAUAUUCCACCGACCUAUUGGAUCAAGAAAAACAUAGUACCACCUCGCCUAUCGACCCAAAAACGCAUAGAAGGGGAGGACUAUAUAAGGAGACCCCCUGGCCCCUGGAGAAGACAUGAAGAAAUUAUCAUAGAGAUUGAGGGGUGCCCUCGAAGGAAAACCUCUUCUCUAAUUAAUAUUUCUUUUUAGGCUUAGCAAUCAAUGUAAGGUAGAAAUAGAUCUUCUAGUUUCUACUAGAUUGAGAGAGAUAGAGUGGAGGUGUUGAUUGGAGGAAGCCCGGCCUGUCGGUGUCUACUCCAAGCUUGUACCUUGCGGGAUCAAGUUCUCCUAACCCGAAGCUUGCUCCUAGGAUUCUUCAGUAAUUCGACUUCUAAAUUCUAGUAAGUUCUUGUUUUAUUGUUCUUAUGGUUUAUGAGUUUACUUUAAUCUCUUCGCGUAGAGUUUAGAGUAAUCAUUGCUGGCGUAAACGUGGUGUUUAGGCUGGGGUACUCAUAGAUAUUCCCUGACUAGCUGGACCGUGGUAGUAGUGAGGAACGUGACAAUUCCGAGCUACCUUUGUAGAUCACAUCUCGUUAGCAGGAAGGAUAGGGUUUAUUGGUGCGGGUUGAACAUCCUUUGUGGUGUCUAGAUUCCGUUAGCCUCCCCAUUAGAACAGUAGAUCAUCCUUACCAAGGUUAGAAGGAGACUACGGUUGCAGUCUUCUCUAUUUAUCACUCACAUCGAAAGACAUUCUUUGUGCCUAAAGGUUAGUAGUAAUAGACCGGUUAGUCAGAUGCACUCUUUCUCCUAGUGGUAAAAAAAUAAAUACGAUACUCUGGAUAAUUUCCCGGGUGAAGUGCUCACCGAUAUCCGUGCGCUUGCGGAUCAAUUCCUUAUUGCGUUCCCAAAUAUCAACAGUUCUCACCUAACCCGGCAGUCACGGGAAGCGUGAUAGGGAGCAAGCACCCAUCCAAUCGCCCUUUUUGCAGCCUUGUCCACCAGAUGAACCAGAGUAGGUCAGGGCGCAGUGAGACGGUCGGAACGUCUUGUCACGACCCCCCUCGAGACGCCCAAAGUCAGCGCUCCUAUCAGCAAGGCUUUGCGUGGCGUUGGACCCUCGAGUGAACACUUUCCUUCCCAAAGAAGAGUCAGGCGGUGAAAGACAACACCUCAACAACUCUGACGCGACAGCAGCCACGACGUACAGGUGUGCCCACGGUUAAGCCGAUCCAGGACGGCGCGCAGGAGCCGAAUUCAGAGGCACGCGUAAUCAUCAUCCAAGUACUGAGUAACAAGACGGCUUGAGGCCACGCCAGUACGGAAGCCUCGAGUAGGUCAGCGCACCACGCAUCUAUCGACCCCUACUCUAUCACCUACGCCAUGUAACCUAGGUCACCCCUUGGAACUAUAAAAGGGUAGGCACAGGAAAGGAUAGGGGACACAAGACAUACCUAGAAGAACAACCACACUUCAUCUCCCACCAUCCACACAAUACCGACUUGUAUUCACCCCUGUACAAGCACUUAGGUGCAAGAUAAUAGAAACAUCUCCUCCCCACCCGACGUAGGGCCUUCUCUUGCCCGAACCAGGAUAAACCUUUGUGCCUUUCUUGCAUCACCAUCUGGGAAAGGGAACACGCACACAAGUUUCACUCGUUGGAGUGACCCCCCGUGGGGAAAACACCGAUAGAUAUAAAUAUUAAAACUGUGGGCAAUUGCUUUGUUCAAGUCAUUGUUUAUUUCUUGUGGUUUUGGUUGAGAGAAUUAUCAUGCUCCAAAGAUCAAGAUCGUUUUGUUUUAAAAAUAUAAAAGAUUCACUCUUCCGAAGUAUUAUUGCAUUAGAGGCAUGAGACUAUGCAAAAAUUUGAUUAAAAAAAAGAGUGAGACGAGAGGUAAAAAUGGACAAGUGUCCAAAGUAGAAUUAGGGGUACAAAGAUACCCACCUGAGUGGAAAAAAUGGACACAUGUCUGAUAGUAGAAUUAGGGGUACUUGGUGCCCACUUGAAAAAAAGAAAAAAAAGAGAGAGAGACUGAAAAAAAAGAGAGAAAAAAAAAUGAUAGCCCAUGGUCCCUCUAAUAAGCAAUGUGCUAGUAAGAGAUGACAAACUUUUCAAAAAGGUCAAAGGUAUUGAUGUAGGAGUAUGACAUUCCUCUCCCUUGCUCCGAGCAUUGACAUAGCAAAAUGCAAAGUAAGUAUGCUAAAACUUUUAAAGCUCUACUUAUAUAUCUUUCGAGAAGAAGGCAAAUGCCUCAGUUUUAUUUUGGAAACUUACAAAAAACUCCAGAACAAAGGUAAGACAGAAGAACUUGAGACAUAGUGCUUGACUUGAUCGUUCUGUUUUUCAAUCACUUAAGAGCUUAGUGAUAACUUAAUAACCCUGUAGUAAGAGGCAUAAAAGUAACCCCAGUUUUUUUCUGAUUUUAGCUUUGCUCAGGGACGAGCAAAGGUUAUGCUUGGGGGAGCUUGUUGACGGUCCUUAAUGCUCACAUUUAACCGUCAACUAAUCAUGGAAAAGGACUUAUAUACAACUGUUGGGUAUUUUAAACGCAAAGAGAAAAAUCCGCAAGCGCACGGAUACCGAUGUAGCCUUCACCCGGGAGUAUUCCAGAGUAUCGAUUUUCCACAGAGAACGUGAGUGUACUAAUUAAGAUCCAAGAUCGCCCAAGGAUAACUAUAUAAUUAUUUUUGGUGGGAAGAGAGGAAGUUUCCUGAGAGUUCUCUAGUUGAUCUAAGAAUCAAGAAUUACUUCAAGAUUAUUUAUAUCGGGACAUCAGAGCACUAACCACAGAAAGAGAUGAGAAGGGGGCUAGGAAGGUCUGACUACGGUCCUACAAACACCGAUCCGAACGUGGUGGAAUACGUCGACCGUUAGGGAUGUCACUACCCUAAGGCUACCACAACAAUCCGCAGGAUUGGGUGCAAUUCCAGGUAAUUGCAAGACUAAACACCACGUCUAAUCUAUUAAUUACUACUCUAAUGUUUCAAAGAUUAGAGCACUUGAUGCAAGCGGGAAUCCAAUAAAUAACUUGAAUGUAAAUAAAAGUAAUUAGAGAACUCAGGAGUUAUGAGUUGAAGAACCUAGAGAACGAUGAAGAACGAACCAGAUGUUGCAAAAGUACAAUGUUGAGGAAGAUCCGACAGAUCCGGCUCCUCCUCCGCUCUCCUCUUCUCUCUCCCUAUUUUCUAGAUUACAACUAGAACUAACUAGAACUAGAACUAGAGGAACUAGAACUAGAACUAAAUGAACUAGAACUAGAUCUAGAUGAACUAGAGGUAGAACUAGAAGAACUAGAGGGAUCCUCUCUACUUGGAUGAAUAAUUGAAACCCCUAGCUUUGAUUCUGUAGAAGAGGUAUGAUCUCCAGGGGCCAGGGGGUCUGGUUUUAUAGUCCCUUCAAGUGAAUCUGGGCCGUCGGAUCAAACCGACAUUGAUCGUGUGGUUCUCCUUGAUCCUUUAGGUCGGUGGAGCAUAAUCCGCGAAACGUGUCCUGAUUGGGCACUGUAGCUGGGCGGGCGCCCUGCCUCCGAGCCCGAUUUCCUUCCCGUUCGUUCCCGUGGCUUCUGGAGUCUUCUAGAUGAUAGAAAAUUGCGCGACACGUUAAUAUCUCUAUGUAAACCUGACGUGUGGGCCUUUCUUCCAUAUUUCCUGAUAACCCCCUGCAGAAAUACACAAACACCAAAACUCGUGGAAUUCUGUCAGAUAAAACCCUAAGUCUAGGUGUUGGUUGCAUUUGGAUCCUUUUCCAUGAUUAAUUGAUGGUUAAUUGUGAGCAUUAAGGACCGUCAACAAGCUCCCCCAAGCUUAACCUUUGCUCGUCCCUGAGCAAAGAUGAACUCAAGAGUUUCUGAAGUGGUUUCAUAACUUAAAGAUACACAUGCGUUUAAACAAGAUCUCAUAUCUGGUUAGAGUAAACUGUUAAGACUUAAAACUUACUCAUUUACCUUUCACCAUGGGACUUGUAACCGUCACUUCUGUCUUGAGUAGUUAAAAGAUAGAACGGUCUAGUCAAGCACCAUGUCUCUUAUUCUUGAUCAGCUAUAGCUCUAGAGUUUUUGCAGAUUUUCAAAUAAAACACAGAGAUUCCUUGUAUGACUCUCUCUAGUCUCUCUUUUGUGGUAUUUCUAGAUCCUUACCAAGGCAUUAAUGGUGUAUGCCUUCUCUCAAAGUAUGUGGUAUUUGUGGUAUAAGGCAUAGUGGCAUUGCCUUCUCUCUCACCCUACUCUUAUAAGGUUUUGAUAUCUGGAGCUCAUAGGUGGGAGACAGCUAAUACAUACUUACAAGACAUUUAUUGCAUAGUCAAACCAUGGAUCCAGAAGAACAAGUCAAUAAGUCAAAUCAAGAUGUGCAUGUGUGGUGAAUGAAUGGUGUAUGGUGAUGAUGGUUAUAACAAUGGUGAAAGUCUAAUUCUACUUAUGCUCUUUUGAGGGGAUACAUACCUUUCUUGCUCUUUUGAAACUUUUUGAGGAGAAUGAGAUGCUCUAUAUAUUUUUUUCUUUUCUCUCAGGUGGGUAUCUUGUGCCCCUAAUUCUACUGUCGGACACUUGUCCAUUUUUACCUCUCGUCUCACUUUUUUUUUAGGUUCCGGGCACUUGCCCCUUUUUAUUUCCUCGUAUUUAUUUUUUUUCUCUCUCUUUUUUUUCUUUUUUUUAGAGCACUCAUCUCCUGAAAUAAUAUAGCAAGUGGUAGUAACCAAGAUAACUUGUGCAUUUAUUUCACAGGGGAAAAACAGAAAUAUUUUUGGCUAUUCUCUCUCGGAUUAGGAGUAGAAUAUUUUUGGGUGGUUCUGGAGAUGGAAAUGGAUGGAUAUAUGUGGAUGCGUUCUUCCGAAGUAGAAGUAGCAUGUAUGAGUGAACGUGCAAGUGAAUCUUGAUUUAACCACAUGACAAGCUCCUAAGGGUCUACACAGCUUGACCACACUCAAUGCUCAUAAGUAGUAAAAAGUAAAUGUGUGGCUCAUAGUCUAACAAGCAUGUAUAUAUGGCUGUGGUAGGAAUUUAAACUCUCAUCAUACGGGAACUCAUCAUGCAACAUUUUAAAGAUUUUCAAAGAUAAAAUUCUCCAGAAUUCUAGCAUCCCUAGGAACACAUAAACAACAGCUUAACCUUCCCAUAUCAUAUCCGUUAACAACUUAGACUUUAGAUCAAGUACUCUCCCCACAAGUUCAGGUUUAGAGCAAAUCUUAAUUAAUAACAGUCAUGCCUAAACUUGAGAGAGAUUUCAAUUUUGAUAACUAGUCAUGGUAGAGCAACUAUUCAUCAUUUCCAUGUGAGAGCUUAUUAUGAGGGUUCAUAGCAAACUUUAUUUAUUUAUUUAUUUAGCAAGCUAAGCAAAGAUAUAUAUAAGCACAAAAUCUUUAUUUGGGUUUUUAUGAUCAUGCAUCUUUUUAUUAUUUGAGUAAAAUAUAAACGUGAGUAGAACACUUAGCUGGAUAAAUGGGGGUGCUCUCCCCCAAGCUGGAUUUUGACGUAAUUUCUUCUGAUGUAGCUAGCAGGUGGCGGAGGUGUAUUUGAAUGUCGGCAGCACUCUGAUAGCGAUUAGGAUGUCCUCCGUCUGCUAGUCUUCUUUGAUCCUUGAAUUUUGUGGAGCUCAAAUAGACAACAAAACUUUGUGGAACUAGUUAAGUGUUAGCAUAAAAACUCUUAGCCGUUAUCAUGUUGAGCUUCCUCUAAUAAAUUUUACUCUCUUUGGUAGGAUCAUAAAUCUAUUUUUAUAAUUUUAUUUUUAUAGGACAGGAAUAUAUUUACUUUAUUUUUAUGCCACCAUAGUGAAUGUACUUAUGGGUUUUAUGCCAUGAGCAUACUCACAUGGGGCUUACUUAACAUUUUUAUUUUCUAUUCAAGAUGAUAUGAACCAGAUUAACUAAGCAAACUAUUUUAAAAUAAUUGAAAGGAAAAAGAUAACUACCAAGUUUACCUCUUGGCAAGGCGUUCGGUGUUUUUAAGUCCUCCGAACGGGACUCUCCGUUUUCUCAGUCGUCCUGGAAUUCGCUGGAUGGCGUAGUCGGUGGUUCCGGCGGUGCCUCCUCUUUAUGUAUAACUAUCUUCUCUCUACACACCUGACUCGGUGCUACGGUCUCCUCAGGACAGUUCUGUUCAAGUUGUAUGUCUUCAGACCUUACGACUUCUCCUUCAUAGUCUGCCCAUCCGUCCUUGAUGAUUUGCCUCCUCUGGUUGCGGUUGCGUCGUCUUCUUCUUGCCCUGACCUGCUUAGAGUCAUCAGCUAUAUAGUUAGGGUCAGUAAAAUAGCGGCGUACCUUCUCAGAGGGGGAGUUCAUGUGGACUUCUCCGGUUCCAAUGUAGAUGAUUGCUUUAACAGUGCUGAGGAACGGUCUUCCAAGGAGGAUGGGUGGAUCGUACUUGUCUUCUCCCAUGUCAAUAACCUUAAAAUCAUCUGGAGCUAAAUGUAUGUUGGUUGUAGGGACAUGGUUCCAUGCAGGAGCUGAUAAGUGACUGCGGCCAUUAUAUUGACGUUAGAUCCGGUGUCGUAGAGUGUCUUCUGAAAAGAAUAUCCGUUGAUUGUGCACUCGAUGCUUGGGACACCAGGGUUGUCCUUCUUGAUCAAGAAAGGUGACUUGAGUUGACGAUCUUGACCUCCUUGAACUGCAGUGACCAUCUUAGCUGACUCGGUACACAUUUGCUUGUUCCUGUUCCUCCUGUUGGUCCUCUUCCUUGGUUCAUGUCGGGAAUGCUCUGAGAUUUGUGUAGUCUUGUUUCUUGAAGGAAAACGUCUCCUUCUUCCCCUUGAUGUAGAAACUGAUCUUGGCAGCACUAGCAUAGAUGACAGCUCUUGAGGUGUUCAGGAAUGGCCUCCCUAGGAUGAUGGGUGCCCUCUCAUCAGUACCAGUCUCUAUUACCAAGAAGUCUGCUGGGGCGUACAAGGUACCAACUCAGACGCAGAGGUUCUUCAAUAUCCCCUUUGGGAAACUUAGUGUCUGAUCUGCAAGCCUGAGCAUAAUGUUGACGCUGGAGCCAAAGUUACAGAGUGCUUCUAGG